This 83825-nucleotide long non-coding RNA is filed under the name Citrus maxima (pomelo). RNAcentral's name for it is "long non-coding RNA (CMAX_LNC001954)". The stretch from base 41438 to 41508 matches the Rfam family "tRNA". Lineage: Eukaryota; Viridiplantae; Streptophyta; Magnoliopsida; Sapindales; Rutaceae. The record is from RNAcentral.
GUGCAAGAUGGUCGGUGCUUUUAUAAUCUAACAGAACAUUAGUCAAAGAAAGGUCUAAUGUCUCUCCGGAGGGGAUAAGCCAAAAACAAAAGGACCCAAAGAUUUCAUUUCCAAGGCAGAGGAUAUUAGCGUACAACAUUUUGCCAUGCCAUAUGCAUAUAUUUUUUGUUCAAUCUAGCAACAAUAAAAUAGAUAAACAGAUCAACGAAAAGAAAGAAGCGUCUUCUAUGAAUUUUGAGGCUUACAUGUUUAUGAGACAGUUGAAAAUGCCAAGUCUAGCAAAGCUCAGUCUAACGGACAACAUAGAUCUUCGAACUCCAAAUUGAUGGUAACACCAACAAAACAUGCCUGGUCUCCCUUCAAAGUACGAGGAAUCCCUUCAAGUUUCCAGCUCUAACAAUGGAGAGUCACUAUAUGUUUCCAUAGUCGUAGUUAUUAACAUUUGGCAACUGCAAUCCUACAAAAUUUCUUACUUUGAAGGGAGACCACGUGGAAUUGCUGAAGCCCCAGUUCGUUGUGAUUAAAACAAGGGAAUAACCGCUUUUAGAUGUGUCAUAACCAAUUUCUCCAACUUGCUGAUCUUUUAUCACCAGACAAGAACCUGGGAAGGCUUAGCAGACUAUUAACCCUGGUAACACCUUCUAAAGCUGACCACUCCUCAUCCUCAGCAGUAGAAAUACACUCGGCUAGGCUCCUCUUUGAUUGGCCCUGGCUCUUCACAAAAAACUUUUCUGUUGACUCUGGGGCUAGGCUCCUCUUUGAUUGGCCCUGGCUCUUCACAAAAAACUUUUCUGUUGACUCUGGGACGGGAACAAUCUCAGAAGAACCCUGUAAAUUUCUCAAAUUAUCAACAGCCAAUGCAUGAGAAUCGCCAGGGACAUCUAAGGCCGUAUUUUUCCCAUCAGUCACUGCCACCCUUUCUGCUGCCUCAUGAGGAGGCUCCGUUGUGCUGUCUUCUUCCACAGAUCCAUUGACUGCAGAUGAAUGUUCCAGAAAGAGGCAUACAACAGCACAAUCAUCAUUCUUGGAGGUUGGGUACUUAAGCUUCCAUGACCGAACAGCCCAGUCUACAAGAGCUCUAGCUGCUGUAGCUUGACUAGGUGCUGAAGCUACAAUCUCCACAGCUUCCUUAUUGGAAAUGACAUCCCAAACCUGAGUAUGCAAACAAAACAGCUUCCAAUGCAUCAAUGAUUGUUUUGAAGAAUAAAAGUUUCCUACUACAUAAUAAACUUAGUAGGACAUGAUUCUAUCAAUUAAAUGCAAGUACCUUAUUGCAAUAUGGAUCAGUUAUAGCAUCAUAUACAUUGGCAGCACAAGAUGAAUGAGAAAACAUGCAAAAAUACAGCGAAACCAAUGCAUGUCACUGAACUUGUGACAAACCAAAAAAGGAUCACAAGGCAAAGAAGACAGUGAAAUUUCAGUACUACAAGAAGAUGCUUCAAGUAAAUAGCAUAUUGAGAAAGAGAAAGAUACCCCAUCAGUCGCAAGAAUAAUAAAUUCAUCUUUCUCAGUAAGGCGACGAUAGUAAAUAUCUGGGACAGAAAUUAAACCAAAAUCCUUCAAACAGAAGUCUCCAAAUGCUCGAGCCAUUGCCAAACCAGGAGAAUCAUUGUUUGGCAACCAUACACGUGCAACCUCUGGCUCAUCCUGCAAUGCAAAGACCCUUCCUUUGCAUUGUUGGAUCCUUGCAGCCUCCCCUGAAAAUAUGAAGACAAGAAUUUAAGACUAUAGAAAUACAAAGUUUAUUGUUCCAACAUAAUCGAUUGAAGAAAGCCAAUUUUUCUUUCUUAAUUUUUAAUCUUUACAACUUAGAAUUUAAAUUAAGUCGCACACAUUAGAUGUAAGCGAGUGAGAGAGAGAGAGAGACUUGGGAGAUCAGGCUUCAAGUCCACAGUCAAUUGUACUGCAACCAAAGAAUUGUCUUUUUCUCUUGUAGCCAGCACUGCCCUUGAGUCACCAACAUUUCCAAUUACAAUAUCAGGACCCUGCAGAGUCAAAAUUUUCAUAAGAUGGAUAAUGAUGUUAUCUCCAGAUUUAACAUAAUCACAAAUAAAAAUUGUCAGUUUAAGACAUCUAUACAACUAUCAAGAGACAUUUUAUCAAAAUUACGUACCCCAAUCAGAACUCCAGUAAAUGUGACUGCUAUAAAUAAUGAAGUACUUCCCAGUCCUGAUCUAGCAAAUUUUCAUCAAGCCAAUAAACUACCUAAAAUAUGAGGGUUUGUGGAAGAAAAUUUGUUUGAAAUUUUGAUCAUAAUCACCUAAAAACAGCUACAGCACAUAAUUUCAAUUAUAUACCUAAGCCCAAAACCUAAAAGAAAAAUUUUAGUAGCUUUCUAUUUUUGCUGCUGCCAUCCUUCUGGUUAGACUAGUAUGUUAAACAUUAUUUAUUUGUCAUUCAACAGAUUUAAAGUUUAGAAAGAGAAAAAUAAGUCGAUGAAUAAUAUUGCACACCAAAGACAUGUUUGACCAGAUUUAAAAUAAGAUACAUAGAAUUCACUUCUUCGUGUAUCAAACGUCUAUAAACCAUGUUAGAUUAAGAGUGAAGAGAAAAUAGAAGAAAAUAAACCAUGAUAAGCAUUUGCAGAAAGCUUUAUGGACUGUACCCAUUUGAAACAUGCACACAAUGACAAUUUUAGAUAAAAGAUGUGCAGAACUAAGUUGUUCACCCAAAAGACACAAAUCACUAACAUGUUCACAAGCUAUUGAAAAUAUUACAACAAUUAGAAACUGAAUAUUUGAAGUUGCUCCACAAAAUAUAUACAUAUUACCAAUUUCCAACAGUAAAAUAUAAGAAAAUAUUGACCUCUAAAAACUGAAAUUAUAAGAAAACAAUUAUGAUGCAGUAAGAAAAAUUACCUGCUUAACUAGCGUAACAGCAGUCGUUCCACUGCAGAAACAAUCAAUUGCUGGAUGUAACUUUAAUUCCUUAUCCAUUAACUUAAAAGAUUUUAACAUGGAUUUCUUAAGUGGCAGAUAAAUCUCAGGGAGUUUGUCACCCUCAGUAUCCAGUGUCUCAAACCCUUCCUCAUCCAUGCUUAAUGAUGCAGUUUCCUCAGAAUGUGUACUUCCAUUAGCAUUCUCAAAGCUGGUCUGAUCAUUGCUAGCUUUCCACUGGGAGCACAAUAUAACUGGAAGAGAAUCCCGUACUUUCUUGGCAACCAUAUGACCAUAAGGACCGUGACCGUCAAAUAUCCCACAAAAUACCGUAUCACUUGAACUGAAAUUCUAUUGUACAAACAUUCCAAUCAACUAAUCAAAUAAAAUUGUCAAAGACAAAUAUUUGCCUCUAGAAAUAAUGACAUGAUUGCACACUAAAGAAGCACAGUAACAGUGCAAGGAAAAUUGAACCCAUGCUGUCUUUGCAACCACAUAACUGUAGUUGGGAGGGUGGGUCCACAUGGAUACUCUUCCAUGCCUUCAUUCCUGACAAUGCUACUCUAGAAUCACGCUGCCUAAAUCAAACUUUUAUGUGCUCCGAACUGAAAUUGUGAUAAAGUGCGUAGUAGUAAUACACCACUCACUCUAAAUUUGCUUCCCGACCACCCCACCCGGUGGGAUUAUCAAGAUUUUAAAUUUUAUGCUAUACCAAUCAUAAUGUCUAUUGAACUAAUAAUACCAUGUCUGUAAAACCUUCCAAGGCCUAGUUAACUAUAGGUACAGGUUCAAUGUAGAAAUUUAUUUAUUUAUUUAUUUUGGAUUUACUGGCAAGUAAAAUAAGAAACCGAGUGGCCUCUACCCCUAUGUUUGUUUUAUUCCCAAUAGCAUCAAACCAAACCAUAAACCUACCAAAUAAUAAGCAUCACUUUCAAAUUACUUGGUAACAGAAAACUACCAGCAUUGAAAAUGAACAAAAUAAUUAAUUAGAGAUAGAAAAUGAAGCUUACCUCCCAAACAAUCAUGGCGUCUUGAUUGAUUCCCUUCUUGCCCUGCUGGGUAUACACGCAGGCGGUUUUACUAGCAGCGUUGUUGACCAUCCUCCCAGAUAUGUGAUGAAGAAGCUGAUCAGCAUCAUCGUCAAUGGAUGACUUUUUCUUGAGAAAAAUAGCAUCUCUGCUCUUCCUCCACCUUCCCGAAGAGCCCACUGCUGCUGCUGCAUCAUCAGUAGCAUCAGAGCUUCCCUUUUCUUUUGAGAAGCAAGAUCCCAUUUUCUAAUCCUAACUGCCCACUCAAAUGAUCAAAUCAAAAUCCAAUUUUAUUGCAUUUGGGUUGGAAUUAUUAUUAUUAUGAUUAUUGUUACUGGAUUUUGGUUGGUUGGGUUAGGUGAAAAAAACAAAGGGGAAGCAGACACAACAACAAAAGUACACAAAAUAACAUAAAGCUUUUAAGUUUAUUUGCAUACUGCUGCUUGGUAUUGAGAGAAAUUUGAAAAAUAGAGAUCAAUUCAAGACAGACACCACUUUGGGAUUGAAUGGCUUGAUAGAAAACAACCAGACAAUAGCUUGUAAGAAAAUUGAAAGAAGAACUGAGACAAAACUUGUUAGGUGAUGUAAUUGGUGUAUAAUGGACAAUUGGGCAUUAGAUUACAAAUCAAAAUAAUAUUUUAUUAUAAUGAUUAUUAUUUUUAAAAAUUUGGUCUAUGCUGUAUAAUUUUGAUUUUGUCAAAUUAAAAUAAAACAAACACAUCGUUGUUGAUAUUGCACCGUUGUAAUUAAUUGCAGGCCAGUCAGUAUUCCAUCGGCGACCCCACCCAAGGCCCACAACUUUUAUCAAUUUGGCGCAAUUACUUUGUCCAACUAUUUGCCACCAAAUGCAAAUUUAGGGUGGGCAAAAAAAGUCCGGCCCAGGUCCACAGAUUUCGGCUCGACUGUUCACAUGAGGGUCGGACUUUUUUUGCCCACCCUAACUAGGUCUAAUCCCCUAAUUUUUUUAAAAAAUAAAUUUAUAAAUUAAAAGAAUAAAUUAAAAUUUAAAAAAUAAUAAAAAGAAAAAAGAAAACUUAAAUCCUUAAUUUAUAAAUGAAUAAUGAUUCAGAAAAAUCUAAAAUUAUAAUACUAAAGAGUGCUUGAAUUAGUAGUAAAAAAAUUAAAUCUGUAAGUUUUUAUUUAUUUUAUUUUAAAAUAUUUAUUUUUUUAAUUUGUGGUUAUAACAACUGAUUGAUUAUUAAUUCAUUUUAAACAUACAACAAUAAAAAAUAAGUAAAAGCCUAAUACUUUUCCUAAGUGAGCUUGGGCCUAAGGUUGGUAAAGCCGGGCCCAUGCCCGCAUUUCGCCGUCCUAAAUGCAAUGUAAUGCUUCAGAGGCUUCAUUAUGAGCGGCGCACAUGAGAAGAUUUUCAAUAGUACCCUAACAAGGGUUUUUACGAGGCACGCAAACGGAGGGGUACUAAUAGCAUUACUUCUUCACAAAACAUAAGAUCAUGUAACAGAAAACCUUGUAUGAGUUCCAUCAAAGGGUUUUGAUCUGGUGCAUAAGGACUAAGGAGAAAAUCAAGCCCAUUGGAGCAGCUCUCUCCAACAAAAACUUGAGCUAGAGAAAUGCAAUCUUGUGAGGUUACAUUUAUUCAUUUUGCAAUUAAAUUUUACAAGAUUCCAAUAUUUUGCUAUUUAACAUAAAAAUUAAAAGUUUCAUACUAUUUUUAUCAAGUUACUAAAAUACCCUUUUAUUUGUAAAAUAGCACAAAUGGUAUCAACUCAUAAAGACAGGCUGUAUAAAAUUUGCCUAUUUACUCAUACUUGCUAUUGAGGUGAAGUUAGUACAAACCUCAGGGUGGUAUAUGAUAAUUCCCUGUAAUUUUUUAUCGGAAGAAGUAUCCUCAUUAAUAGAGAUAAUUAUGGUAUUAUCCUCUAAAAUAUAAUGGAUGAAAUGAUCGAUAAACAUUAGCCUAGGAUGGCAAUGGGGAGGGGAGGAGAGGGGAGGGGACCAAUCUCUCCGUAUUUAUUUUUGAUAUUUUGCGUAUGUUCACGUUCUCUCCCCAUCUCCGUCAAAAUUAUUUAAGAGAAUCCCCAUCCCCUCCCCGAAUAAUAACAGGAGAUCUCCAAGGAUCCUCAAUCCCCGAAUAACUAAUAUAUUUUUUUUAUUUUCGAUUUUGAGUUAAUCAUAUUAAAAUAAAAAAUUCAAAUAAAAAUAAAGUUCGAAAUAUAUCUUACAUUAAUAUCCAUUACAAAAGUCACAUACAUUAAAUUAGUAAGUAACACAACAUGCAAGGGAUACAAACUAUCAUGAACAAAUUAAUAGCCUAAUAUAAAAUUGUUACAAAUAAAAUCAAAUUUAGAUUCAAAAUUAACUUUUUAAUGGUGGCGUGGGCACUUUAUAAAUGUGGACUAUUCCUUUUACAGCACAAUAGUUAAGUCGAAACAAAUCAAGAACAAAUAUUAGAUUAGAUUAGAUAUUAAAAUUGUGAUUUACUGUGGGCAAUUAUAACAUCUAAAAAUAAAUAAAAAAUAGAUUUAAGAUAAAUAAAAAAUAAAUUUAAGUUUAAAAUAUUUAAUGAAUAUUAAAAUAAAAACAAAAAUUUUGGGCUAAUAAAAUCUAUCCGGUCUUUUUAAUGUCCUAAAUAAAAAUUUAAGACUUUAAUUAGUUAAUUAGGCCUAAAAAUUUAAUAAUAUUAAUAUUUUAAUAUUUUUUAUUUUUACCAAUACUUAUAGUUUUAUAAUUCAAAUUUUAUUAUUUAUUUAUUAGUAAUUUAAAAAAAUAAAAAUUAAAUUAAAAAUUGAAAUGGGGAAAUGGGUAGGAAAUGGGAAUUCCACCUCAUCCCCGUCCCCUCCCCGAAUAAAAAAUUAGGUAAAAAAAUUUCCCCGUCCAUUCCCCGAAUAAGAAAUUGGGUAUGAAAUUAUCCUCAUACCCUCCCCGAAUGGAGAAAAUCCCCGAAGGUACCCGUCCCGUAAGGAUUUUUGCCAUCCCUACAUUUGCCCGUCAAAUAGAUCGGUGUCUACAAUUUACCUUCGAUGUUGUGCACUCUAAAUAGAAGCAUACAGCAUAAAUGGAGUAUCCACAAUGGCACAAGUUCAUACAUGAUAAAGAACAGUAACAACUAAUGGUUCCAUUUUUUUCUUGUUCUUGGGAUUCCACUCUCCUAAUCUGGGUUUCUCUGUAAACAAUGGAUUAAUCUACAACUUCAUGUACAAUGGUUUUCUAUCUUUAUGGAGUCGAAAAUGAGACAACACAAUUCAACAGUUCAUUGAAUUUUCACAUUUUAAUACACAGCAAGUCAGUCUCCUCUACAGGUUGAGAGCUUUCCAUUUCAACCAUCUGAUAAGAAUAUGGAAGAUGGAUCGGCGUUUCAUCAGAUAUUAUAGAAUGACCACAAAAUGAAACCAGAAGCAGCAGUUUCAAGUGACGAUGAUAGUAUUACCUUGAAACCCAUCUUUUUGUACAGUUGCUGUCCAGCUAUGUUGUUUCUAUGCACAUGUACAUAUACCAGCUCCACAUCUGUGACCCAAGAGUCAGAUCAGGAGGAAGUUCUCAUGUUUCUUAUUCACGGAUGCUUGGUUGAUCUUACCAUUGGAUUUAGCUGAUUCAACAGCAAAAUACAACAUGUUGCUUGCAAUACCCUGCCGACGUGCUGAUUUGGCAACACAUAAAUUUGCAAUAUACCCAUACCUAUUCGGGCCUCUUCUGUUGAUGCAGCCGAAGAGAGGAGGAUUUACCCGCUCCUGUGAGAAGAAUUUAACUUAAUUAGCAGUGUAAGUAAUUAACAGUAACAGAUUGUUCAGAUGAUAGAUAAGAUUGGCACUUUUGCAUUUAAGAUAAGGCAUGUACCCCAGGAAAAUUCUCCCCUUGCAACAAAUACCGGAUGCUCAAAUCAAGGGUUCCGACUACACUUUUCAGUACGGUGCGUUUUACAUUCCCCUCAUCCUUCUUUACCUGAAAAUUCGAUAUCAUAGCACAGUAUGAGGAGCUCUAUCUUAACAAGCACACAAAACCAAUAGCAAUUCAGUUCUCCUUUUAGCCAUCAUAAUGGAGAGGAAAUUGAAAGGUGAAACAAGAUUUAAUUAAAAGGGAUAUUAUCAAAUAUCCACCUGAUGUUUCCUGACAUAUCAAUUCGCCACCAACAUUUUCUGAUAACUACUUUUUCCCACGUAAUAUUUCACUUAUCAUUUUACAACCAAAAUGUUAACCUCGUUUAAAAAAUGCUGAUGUCACAAGAGUAUCUGAGUAAUUUCAAUAAUCCAAUCUCUUGAAGUCAAAACAAGACCAUAUUAAUCAUAAAACUACCUAAAAUAUGAAAAUAAAAUUGAUCCCCCCCCCCAAAAAAAAAGAGAGAGAGAGAGAGAGAGAGAACAUAUACUAUAACCCAAUCAAAUCCAAACAUAAUAUGCUUUAACUAAUCAAUAUCAAACCAUAAUCCAAUCAUACACAAACCUUAUCACUAAUCAACAUUACUGACGAAAUCAAUUCCUUAAAGAUAUAAAAGGCAAAAUCCAUAUUUUUUUCAGUCAAAAUCUUAAUAAUAUUUCAAAAUACAAAAGGCAAAAAUGAAUAAAAGAAACUAGAAAUUGACACCGUCCCAAGCCCCAGCUGCAACAGUGACUGCAGCACCAUCCCCGAUCCCGCAAAGUUUACUGUCAACUAUCAUCACCAUCAAACUACCCACCGCUGAUAGUGAAACCUUUACCUUUGAAACUUCAUUCUGCGAUUAAAACCUCAGUGCCACUAUCACCAUACUACUCAUUGUUGACUUAUCCAGAUUUAACCCUGCUGUCCACCAUUACUAUUGAUAAGAGAUAUGUGCAGGAAACAUAAAAAUGCAUAUUCUGAAAAGUGAUGAGUUUCUUUCCUUAGAUACUUAUAUUUUUGUUUUUAUCUCAUUUUUUUGUGUUUUAUUUAGAUUUGAAGGAUUGAUGUUGGUAGUGGCUGUGUGAUCUCUUCCGUGUUUGCUAAGGACGGUGUUGACAUUUGGAGGAAAAAGAAAAUGAAGUAGGUUUUUUUUUCCUUUUUUCAUAAUUUUUUUCCCUAAAUAUGGAUAAAAUAGACUUUUCAUAUAAAUUACAUUAAAUAUUCCGUUGGUUUUAACAUUUUGGUGGUUUCCGUUAGUUUUAACAUUUCAGUGAUGAAAUGAUAAGAAGUGAAAGAUUAAGUGGGAAAAAGUAGUUGUCAGAAACGUUAGUGAUCAAGUGGGAAAAAGUAGUUGUCAGAACGUUAGUGAUGAAUUGAUAAAUCAGGAAACAUCAAGUGAGAAUGAAAAAAUUAAGCCAAAAUCUUACAAAUAUCAUACCGCGACAAUGCAAUAGUGCCUCUGUCCAUUUAGCCCCCUGCAUCGCCUUUUAAUGGCAUUGAACUCCUACACAAUAAGAAGAUCUAUAUCAACCAUUCAAUUCAUGACAAGCAGCUUGCGCACAACAUAGAUCGAUUAAAUAGAAUGACAUUCAAUCCUACCUGCUCUGCGAAUUUCCUUUUGAAGUUAUCAACAUAUCUGUAUUAACCAGGUACACCCAAAAUCAGUAAUUCCCCAACUCUUCAACUUACAGUGUCGUACCUAUUUUAACUACAUUAUCAUAGUGGUGCUCAAACUCAUCAUUGGGACAAUCUCAGGGAAGGAUUCUUCCAUUAAAACUUAUUAAUUAGCAGAUUAGAAAGUCAAAUUCAUUCCUUAAGCAAGCACUUCAUCCUUGAUCAAAGCUCAUUACAUCGUAUUUGCACGCAAUUGAAAGAAACUAUUAAAUAGGUGCAUUAUACUGCUUCAAACUAACUAUAUAAAGACUAAUGGGUUGUUCUCACCAUUUUAAAAUCAAUUAUUUAAGCGCAACAAAGGAUCAAAAUCCAAUUAUUAAACAUAGAUACUUUUAGAUGAUAAACCGUAGUUAUUUUAUUUAGCUAAAUUAGUGUAAUUAUUGAACAAAAUGACAAUUAAAAACGCACCGUUCAUUUGUCCGACCCUCCCAGUGACUUUCGGCUCGUAGCCAUGCUGCUGUCUACCACAAAAUCAAAAAAACAAAGCCCCCAAAAUAUAUUAGCAGUGAACACAAAUUAUACAAAUUAAAAAAAAAAAGGAGACCUCUAAAUCUAAGAUUACAAAGUGAUCAAGGACCUACCCAAUAUUCUUCAUCAAGAAGGGCUUCACGCGCGACGAAUUUCCCAAAUUCAAAUCGGUCGUGAUGAAGCAACUCUCGAUCGGACGGCUGAAGGCGGUCAAACCUCAGAUCAUUUGACCUUUGAGGAAUCGAUACUAUCGAGAGAUCUUCCUUUUUGGUCGUACGGGAAGAUUUAGAAUCCAUCCUCCUGUCAAAAUUAUAAAAAAAAAAAAGUCAAUAGUUAAUUAAUUAUAUAUUUAUAAUUAAUCCGAAGAAAAGACCUAAUUUUUUUUUUUUUUAAAAAAUCUUACAUAGUCCAGGUUGCGGAAAUUCGGCUGAACUUGCGGUGAUUUCUAAAGCCGCCAUCGUGAUGGAAUUUCAAGACUGGAGGUCUUUGAACCAAAAUCGUUGACAUUUGAGUUACAGCCUCAGAGGAUCAGCCUCAGCUUGAGCUUGAGCUUGAUUUAAUUUAAUUUUUUAAGAAUUUGAAAUUUUUUUUAUGUUUCAUCCAACAACAUGGAUAGACAAGAGAAGAAUAGAAAUCUGCUGUCAUCUCAUCUGGAAACAGUCACCAUAUCUGCUAACAGUUUUAGCUUUCGGAUUAUUUCCAGAAUAUAAUUUUUUUUUUUAAUCUUCUUUUACCUUUUCUUUUUCUUUUUCUUUUUCUUUCUGGAAAGAAAGAAUUUUAUAUAAAGACGGUUUUUAUUGUUGGCUGCUACAAGGGGACUGGAAUCCAUGUCCAUGUAAGCUAGGGCCUAUUUGCAUGCCUGUCACGUGGUGGGCCGUUAAUUCAGGAUAAGACAAAUUCUCUAGCCAAUAGUUAUUUUAUUUUAUUUUAUUUUACCUUAUUUUUAAAAUUUUUCUCCGGCAAUGGAAAUAUAAUCCGCUAAGGAUUUUGCCUAUAUCAAUUGGGACCUACCAUGAAAUUAAAGGCUCGUUGAGUUGACGAUGUGGCAACUGGCAAGAGGAACUGGAUAAUGGAUAUCAUUGUCAGAGCAACACGUGGAUGAAACAGGAUGUUUGGCAAUCGCCAUUCGCCAGCCAGCCAAAUCUCUUUAAAAUUUCGUACAAGAUAAGGGGGCUCAACUGAAAUUUACCCUACUUUUAUAAGAAUUUUACAGAUUUCUACUCAAAAGUUCGUAAUUUUUCAUUCAGACUUAACUUGUGGAAGAAAAAUAGAUUGUUAUUUAUCUUAAUUAAUUAAUUGAUCUGAUAAUUGAAAUGAUUAAUGUUCAAUGAUGCAGUCUUCGAGUUUGACACGAAUGAUCGAAUGAGUAUGAUCCAUGUGGCUUUCCGAUGAAUAUUAUUAAAUCAACAAUUCUUCUUCUUAUUAUUUUUUCAAAGAAAGUGUAUCCUUCAUUGAUUCAAUUUAGCAAAAAGAUAUAAAAGUUCCGCUGAAAAUUCAUCCAACCACACAACAGAUUCCCUUUUCUUCAAAGCUAAUUUAGCCAAGAAAUGAGCUACAGCAUUACAAAGUCUAGGGUGUGUUGGCUUUCAAAUUCUGAAAAUUCUUCCUGCUAUGUUGCUAUCCAAGUCCACAACUUCCUACGUAUCCGACUCUACAAUCACAGAGGUUCCGAAUGCACUUAAAAGCAAUUUGUAUUUCCCAUUCUACUGUAGCUUCAGCCAUGGUUAUGUUGCCAUAGAGAAAGGGGAAAAAAAUGAAAAAUCUAGAACAAGAAGAGUUGGGUUACCUCAAUCUUUUUCAGUCUGGCUUAAAAAUAUGAUUUCUUACUGUUUUCCCAUGCAGCAAUAGCUGAGAGCUUUUUCUGAGCCCUGUUCAACAUUUUCAGCACAAUUAAUUCAAAUUCACAUAUCAGCAGAAAAAGGAUAAAAAUAUAUUUUUACUCAUUCUUUGGUUAAAAUUAUUUAGUGAAUAAGGGUGACUUGUGAUCCAAGCUAAAUAAUGUGGUUUGUACACCAGAACUAACAUACUUGUUAAAAGAAAGACAAUUUAGCAGAAAGCUUUAUUUGUUCUUUGCUUUUCACUCUCCUUCCAUGCCUUGAUAAAAAAAGACUCUUAUCCUUUUCAACCUCUACAAGAGCAACAUGUGAAAAAACAUAGCAUGAAACCACAAAUUAUUUACUCAGGAAUCAUUACAUUUUGCUCAGCUCAACAAAAACAUUUGAACAAAAUCCACACCAACUUUCACUCGAAGCAUUAUCAUAGUCACUAAAUAAUGAAACAAUGUCAUUUUUCAUCAGGAGCCCAAAAUUAAGUAAGUUUAUAGGAGAUUUGGUAUUCACAGUCACUUCCAAUUAUAGCAGAAACACAAAUUACAAGUCAUGGAUCCCCAUCUCAGCAUCUCAUUAUACCCCACUCAGGAAAGCUAACACUGCUUUCUUUUUACACAUGCAGCUUCUCACUAAAUAAUGGAAACAAUGUCAUUUUUCAUCAGGAGCCCAAAAUUAAGUAAGUUUUUAGGAGAUUUGGUAUUCACAGUCACUUCCAAUUAUAGCAGAAACACAAAUUACAAGUCAUGGAUCCCCAUCUCAGCAUCUCAUUAUACCCCACUCAGGAAAGCUAACACUGCUUUCUUUUUACACAUGCAGCUUCUCACUAAAUAAUGGAAACAAUGUCAUUUUUCAUCAGGAGCCCAAAAUUAAGUAAGUUUUUAGGAGAUUUGGUAUUCACAGUCACUUCCAAUUAUAGCAGAAACACAAAUUACAAGUCAUGGAUCCCCAUCUCAGCAUCUCAUUAUACCCCACUCAGGAAAGCUAACACUGCUUUCUUUUUACACAUGCAGCUUCUCACUAAAUAAUGGAAACAAUGUCAUUUUUCAUCAGGAGCCCAAAAUUAAGUAAGUUUUUAGGAGAUUUGGUAUUCACAGUCACUUCCAAUUAUAGCAGAAACACAAAUUACAAGUCAUGGAUCCCCAUCUCAGCAUCUCAUUAUACCCCACUCAGGAAAGCUAACACUGCUUUCUUUUUACACAUGCAGCUUCUCACUAAAUAAUGGAAACAAUGUCAUUUUUCAUCAGGAGCCCAAAAUUAAGUAAGUUUUUAGGAGAUUUGGUAUUCACAGUCACUUCCAAUUAUAGCAGAAACACAAAUUACAAGUCAUGGAUCCCCAUCUCAGCAUCUCAUUAUACCCCACUCAGGAAAGCUAACACUGCUUUCUUUUUACACACGCAGCUUCUAAUCAGUAACAACGUCAAUUUAAUCGUGAAAUUGCAAAUCAAAACACGUCAUGCUUCAAUAACACAAAUAACUUAUAUCUUUUACAUAAGCGUCAACCAAAAUUUCUUAUUGUAUUUGUCAAAAAUUAGCCACAUACGUUUGAUAAGCACAAUCAUGCCCAUAAAAAAUUAAGAAAAAAAAAUUUCUUUUCUUUCACCAUUUUCCCUCAAAAAUCUUUAAAAUCAUACUUUGUACUCGCUACAUCGUUUUCAACACCUGUGAAAGCUCACAUCUCAACACAAUCUAACAGCAAUUUGUAGGAUUUUAGUGAAACUGGUCCAUGUACAACAGUAAUAGACUUCCAUUUAUAACAAAAAGUUGAAGUUAUAGCCGAUCAUGAGGUCAAUACAAUUGCAUUAUCACAAAUCUAUCGCGUUUUUCACAUUCUGGAACCAUUACUUCAUCAUUCAGCGCAUGCCCCAGUAAAGCCAUGUCAUGCAUCUUCUCACUGCUGAAACUCCCCCCCCCCCCCGAAUUAAUCCAAAAAAAAAUGCAACAAACCAUUUUCAUUGUUCUUGGCCCAAGACAUGUAAAAACCACGACAUAAACCAUCCCAAAAAUGGAAAAAGAAAACGAAAGAAUGUAAAACCCCUUUAAUGGAAUACUGCUAAUAUACACUUCAAGCUAUCUUUAACAUUCUUUAAUCAUGAAUCCAAUGAAAUUAUGAGAAGCAAUAUCUAACAAUCUCAAACAAUUCUCAAGACCCUUUUUCAAUCAAUCACAAGACUACAGAGAAACUCGACUUAGCCCCAUCUUUAGCAUGCUACAUGCAUUUGGAUUAAUCAUUUAACUAAAACUAACAUGAAUUGAUGGAAAAAUCGGGAGAAACAGCUACAUUCUUAAACAAUUUUCGAGACCCAUUUUCAACUUUUCACCAAAUCUUCCAAUUUCAGCUAAUGAAAAUAACAUGCAGGGUAAGAAGCUAACACAUACCUCAUUCGCGGCUCCAAAACAGAGUCACCGGCAAAACUCACUGGUCUGUACUCUCUCACCUCGCGGUCGUGAGCCGUUGUCGCUGAUAUGAGAGUUGUCGGCUUCGUCGUCAUGGUCUUUUAGCUUGUGGCCAAUGUACUUGAUGAAUUCAUUCCAGAGAAAAUGAAAUGGGUUUUGAACUUGAUUGCUAUGGUUUCGGGGGAGGAAAGAGAUGAACAAAGUUCAGACCAUUUCCAGAAUCCAAUGUGAAAAUCUUAAGUUUAUUGGAAUAUUUUUAUCAUCAACGUGUUCAAGUUCGAUCUUGCCUUCGUCUACAUUAUAUGUACCUAACGGAGUACUGAUAAGAGGGGAGGUUUCUGAGAAUACACGGAUACUUUCUAUUAAAGUGAGAAAAUCCUAAACCUCAGGGGAAGUUUUUGAAAAUUACCCUAAUAAUCUUCCUCAAUGGCAUUCGCGACGUCCUCCGCGAUCUGGACUCGCACAUGCUCUCCAAAGCAUUCUCCUGCUGCAUCAAUGCGAACGUCCUCCACCUUUCCAAUCUUUGAGUCCCACACACGAAUAGUGCGUACAUCCGUACAUAUUUGUGGAAUUUUACCUGAAAUGAGACAUGUGUAAAAGACUGUUGCAAGAGGCUACCAAUACCAGUUGCCACUUGGUUCUUGAAGCACAAUAAGAGCUCAGUCAAAAUGCCACGGUCCUCCAGCUAACACCCUUCGUUUAUCAGCUUCUACGUGAAUUUUGAACAUAAAAAUGUUAUUUCCCAAGCUCUCUACUUUAAAAUCAAAAUCUACGCCAAGCUUUUUGCCAUGCUGUUUUAAGACCAUCUCUAGGUAUCCCUCUCGGGAGAAAGAUUUUUCCAACUAAACAGCCUGCAACAAUUUGAAACUCCUUUUUCUUUCAUACUGUACUGCCCAUAAAAGUGAUUGUAUCUCUUCCUCUUCUCCUUCUGGAGUUAUUGCUUGAUACUUGCUUAUUAAGUCUUCUGUUCCCAUUUGUCCUGACAUGACACAACCUGCAAUCAAUGCUUUGUACUAUGCCCUUAACGACUGUUGAAAACACCCACCAAUCUCACUCACUUCCCUGUGUUGUUAUGAAAACCCCUUGUCUUAAAUCUCGCACUCCUCUCUGCUAUCGGUGCUCCCACCCUGUAGGAGCUUAUGAAAGGCUGAAAACCAGAAGCAAAACAAAAGAAAAGCUAAAUGAACUAAGACCCAUCUAUGCUUCCAUUUAGUAUUCUAUCCGUCAGAGAAAACACUAGUGAAGAAAGACACCAAGGAAGGGGCUUAAGUAAAAUGUUUUUACAUCGACACCCUUUUUCUAGCCUCAACCAAAAGCGAUAGACAAUUAGAUAACGUGUUGUAAUAUCUACUUCGAUUUAAGAUAGAUUUUGCAGAAUCCAGUAGAUAAGUUUAAUUAAUAUAAAACAUGAUAUAUUCCAUUUAUAGCUCUACAUUAAACUACUACACAAACAUGAAUUGGCCACUACCGCAGUGACCAAACACAACCAAAAGUACAUAUAAAAGUAAUCAAAUAGCUGAUAAGAUAACUGAAUAGUGGGCUUCAGUUGAGUUCAGCCUUCAAAAUCAGUUUUGACCCACUGCCCAUACUUGCUCUUCAUCUUCUCAUCGAAUUCUUUGGCUUUAACCUCAGCAAUCUUGGCUGCAUUUGCCAUGGAUUCCUCUUGCACUUGAGCAAUUUUCCUGCUCCUCUUCUUUGCCAUUGCCUCUCUCUCAGCUUCUAUCUCCUCAUAAUCUCUUACCCAACAGCUAUGUAUAACACAGCUCAAUAUCAACACCAGCAACUGCAUUAGAAACAUUGCCAUCAAAAUCCCACACUCUAAUCUCACCAAUACUUUAGCCUCUUUGGGGUCACGUUCUGACUUUAGCAUCGAAAGGCUUGAUUUUUCUCUGGUGAACAAUGCCAGUGUGCUGAGUAAUUGCCCCAUCAAUGAGGAGAGGAGAAGUGAGACGUGGGUUAUGAAACAGAAGUGAGUGAGCUGAGAGUAGAAACCCACAAAGGAGGAGAGCAGAGAGAUGCAAGAGACCAUAAGGAAUGCCAAGCCAAAAGAAGUAGGUGGCAUUUUGAGGAGAAUUGUUGGGGCUAGAGAAGCUGCAGAUAAGAUAAAGAGUGUGAAAUUGAGACAAGAAAGUAGAAGAUUUGGGAAGGAACAUGACCUUCUAAGCUUAGAGGAAGCCAUUUGUGAAUGAAUUAAUUGAUGCAAGGAGUAAGGAGCUAGCAUUUGAAUUUAUAUAGCAAGACAACUCGGCCGUUGGAGGCAGGCUAUAACGGCUAUGUUGUAAAGGGCCCACUUUUUGCGUUGUUCGAUAUGUAUCAUGUGGCUCAUUCCCUCCACUUGGAUUUGAAGUAAUUUAAAAGUUUGAGCUAUCUGGCUUUUAAAAGUGGCUGCCUGUACAGAGCAGAUUGCAUAGCAAACCCAAGGGACAAUAUGCACUGAAGCUAAUCUCGAAUCUAACCUAUUUUAAAGCUCAUUUUGCAAUUUGUAGUUGAAUAAUUUACUUCCACAUCAAGGCUCACUCGGUUUCAACUAUCAGGAACAAGGAUUAGCCAGCCGAUAACAUUUUGUUGCAAUUGAUCUUCAUAAACAUAACAAACGGAAGGUAGCCAAAAACCUGCAAAGUUCUUUGGGCUUUGCUGGUAAUGCCCGCUGGAGGCUGAGUUCUCUCAAUGGUUGUUUUGAUGUGUGCAUUAUACAAACUUUAAGAUAUUACAAGUAUUGAUUAGUAGCAGAAUCUUCUUCAGAGGGUAAAAGGUUUUCAACAGCAAUUAUAAAGUCAUUCACAUCGACAAAAAGUAAGUAAUGGAAAAACAAAUGCCAUGAAAACUGAAGCAAUCACGAUUCACUAACAAAAGCCAAAAAAACAAUGAUUAUCCAAAAGCCAAUUGCAUACAUGAAGCUACUUUCAUUUUGAAAACAAACAGUCAACAAAGACUUGUGUGAUUUGGCGAAUCUUGUUUACAUAUGUGCAUAUUAAGGAAGGACCAUCAUCUGAUUCAUUGAAUGCUAACCCGACAAUGAUCAGUGUCACUACUUUCCAGGCAUGGGAUGCAUUCUAAUGCGCAUUGCAUCUUUCAGCCUUUGCCAAUCCCGCUAAAUAAUAAGGUCCUGAAAUGAAAAAUUACUAUUUAAUAUAAAAAAAGUUCAACAGCUAAGAUUAAGGGAAAACAACGCAAUUCAUUGCCUUCUGGAAAAUAUUCUGUGUGAUUUUCAAAAUACCUCAACAACCAGAAUAAGUCCAAGUAUAGGCCUACCUGGUUUUUUAAUGAGUAUCAAGAAGAAUGGGUUAGAAUGGUCUCAACUCUAUCUAGUGAUGCUUGCAAUCUUCCUGAAUUCAUGUUGAACAACGGUUCACCAGUACCCAGAGCCCUGUUAAAUGCAACAUUUCAGCAAAAAGCUAUAAAAUUAUAUAUACAGAAAUAUCUUGCAUCAAAAAGAGGAACACACGGAUAACCAAAAAAAAAAAAAAAGAAUCACCAUUGAUUGCUGAACAAGAGUAAGCAGUGUUACAGUCAUCCAUUUUUCUAAGGAGUGAUUUUGGAAUCUUAUAUAAGUAAACAUAAACUCUCAUGAUUACUUCAUUGGUAACUGCAUAGAAGAUCAAGGAACUUGCCCAGUAAUCUCUGGAAGAACAUAAUCUGCCCUCCAACCAAAUCGAAAAUCCACCCCAGGACACAAGCCCAGAGAUGUCUUAUUCCGGAUCCGGGAUACUCCAUCUCCACCGAAACAUGUAGUGAGUUUCCAUUUCCAACCAGUUGCAUGCAAUUGAAAAUUAUGGCCUAUGCCAACCUGCAAUUUUACAAGAGUUUGAGCAUCAUUGCUGCAAAAUUUGGAAUAAACAAGAGCCAAUAAAAUCACGCAGAUACAAAUAGCAUAUUUAUGAACUCAUGUGGAACAUCCUAUCAAAGAUAAACUCUAUCUAAUACAGCCAGAGGAAAAGGGGAUUAAGUUAAAUGAUUAACCUGGAGAUUCAGAAAUUUGGUUACAGGGAUCUUUUUCGAAAGAAUGCGUACAUCCUGGUGGAUAGGCUCAUAUAUGAACUUCCACGGCCUAUUAGGGGACAAAGGCUUCAGUAUGAUCUUUGCUUGGUAUUCAUUGACUGGAGCAUUAUAGAACUGGGCCAUAACAUGAGAAAAAUUCAUAAAACAAAAGAACACCAAAUAUUGACUUGUAGAUUGUAAGGAAAAAAAUAUAACAUUAAGUUGUACGCAGCAACUAGCCAACUACAUAGCAGAUGCCCUUCAAAAUUUCAAAAAUGUGCAAUGAACAAAGAUGAGUGCUCGUCAACUAUUCAAAUCCAUCCAAUGCAGCAAUGCCCAGACAUAAGGAGAAAAGGCAUACUUGAUUAUUACACGUACUAUUUUCAUUUCUAUCAAGUGGAACAUUUUGGGCCAUCCAACAUUCUGUUCAAUCGCAUUAAGUUAUAUAAUAAACUUUGAAUGAAGCAGGUAUAAGUCCCCUUUUUAUUUUCAGAACAGCUUAAGACAUAAUGGCAGCUUUUGUCCAACCUACAACCUUCAUCAAUAACUAAUAAAGCAAUAUAUUAACUUCACGAACUGCAUUUUCAAGUAUCUUAACUGAAGAUAAACUCCCAUAGAAACUCCAGAUUUUGAGAUGCCAUACUCUUCAUUAUUGGUUCCACCCAAAUACAACACAGACCUUAUACAUACAUUAAUCAAUGGUAAAAUUGUGCAAUAAAUCAAUAAUUUAGCAAUUGUAAGAGACAAGCUCAUGAUUGUUUGCAAAAUUAACCAUCAUCCACAGUAAUUAAAAGUUAAAAAUUGUUAAAGCAUGAGAUAGGAAAUAGAAUAGAACAAAUGAAAACAGUAAAAGGCAUGGGAACGGAAUGAACCUCUAAAUUGACACCAACUCGAAACCCUUCAAUUUCUUUUCUAAACUUGAGAAACAACUCUGAUGGCAUCAAAUUUAUGCUGUAAAGCUCAUCCCACGAAGUGGGUUCCUCCCCAUUUGAACCCGCUUCCAUUUUUCAAGCAAUAGUAAGCUGCGCAAAUUUUGUUUAAAAAAAAAAAAAUUGCAAGAAGUUUAAACCCAAUAACUCAUGUGUUUCAUACACUACAGAAGGGAAACAGCAACAGAAAAAUAAUUAAUCAUACAUAGAGUAGAAUUGUGUGUGCUCUGAGUAGAAGAACUAAAAGCUUUCAUAGAACUCGAUAAAUAGACAGUGCUGCAACUUAUUUCUGCGGGAAAUAUUCUAGGAGGGGCGUGCUAUCCCUGGAGUCGGCACUCGUAAUUUUCUAAAUUUUAAAUGAAUCAGCAAUUAUUUAUCGGGUUAUUUAUCGUCAGCCCCCAAAAGUUUCGACUAUGUUCACUGUGCACCCACAUCUUUCGGCAAUGUGCAUCCCGCCCCCAUUUCCGUCCAUCUACCGUUAACUUAACAGAAAAGAAGGGUAAAAUGAUAAUUUUGUAUUAGAUUAAAAUAAUAUAUAAAAAAAUUUGGGAAAGAAGACUUUUAUCCUUCGUUCUUUUUUUUUGUCUAUCUUCUGUUUCCCUUUUCUUUUUUUGUUCUCUUCCUCUGCUUCUUCCCGUCUUUAUUCCUUCGUUCUUCUUCUUCUUUCUUUUUCUUCUUCUUCUUCUUCUUCUUCUUUCUUCUUAUUCUCCUUUUCCUUCUUCUUGUCUUUCACUAGUGCUGCCUGUCGGAGUGAUCAGCCACCAACUUGAAUCGACAACAAAAAAAUGGCAUGCGCUGCGUGAUCUGCCAUCACUUCCACUGCUGCACGAAACCGCCGACGCCACCACUUGAAGUUGUCGCCGUCUCCGUUGCCUCUAUAAUUUGAUUUAGGGUUUGAAAUCUUUAGUUUUAGGAUUUUUUAUUUUUGGAUUCUUUUUUGUUAAAUUUUCUUAGUUUGGGUCUUUUGUAAUAGAAUUUUACAGUGAAAUUUGCAGCAGCUGUUUGGUAUAAUUUGAUUUGGUUUCUUUAUAAUUGGAUUUUUUUGUAAUCUGAUGAUAAUUCUGUGUUUGAUUUUCUUAUUUCCCUUUGGAAUCAUGCUUUGUCUCUCAUUUUGAAGUUUACUGGUUUACAAUUUCGUAAUGAUAAUGAAAAAAAAAUUGAUUCAAUUUAAUUUAAAAAAAUAUAAAAAUAGAUAUUGUUAUAAGAAAUCUUUAUUUCUUGAUGUAAAUUUGAUAAGUUAUAAGGGGCAUUUUAGUACUUAUGCAUUAAUUUAAUUCAAAACAGGGGUAGUAUGGUCUUUUAGGUUAACAGCAGUCUUAACAGUUAGAAUUAACCGAUUUUUUAAUGGAAAUGGGGGCGCGGUGCACAUGGUCGAAAGAUGUGGGUGCACGGUGCACAUAGUCGAAACUUGUGGGGGCUGAUGAUAAAUAAUCCUUAUUUAUCAUAAUAAAGUAAGUUCCCCGCAAGGAUUAGCCUGUAGAUUGUCUUUUUCUUUUAAAAAAAUAAAAAUAAAAAGAGUUUAAUAAAUCUGAAUUUUUUUCGAAUACCCUAUAAUAGACAUAAGUUUAAGGUGAUAUAGUAUAAUUAAAAAAUGAUAUUAAUUUUUUUUGUACAUUUACUUUUUAAAUUGAGGAGUUGAAAUUUAGAAUAUGAAUAAUUGAUAGCAUUUACUUGUAAAAAUAAAAAUAAGAAUAUGAAUAAAACAUGUGAAACUCGCAUAUAAUAUAUAUAUAAAGAAAUGAGAACUUGAUUUCCGUGGGGUUGGGAAUUAAGUUUUAAUUUUUUUAACUCCUUAUUUUACCUCACCCAAAAUUUGUAAUUUCCAUUUUAUCCUCAUAUAAAAUAUUAUUAUAUUAUAUUAUAGGGUCCGGCUACGGUGCAACUGUGGUAUCGUGCCACAAUUGCAUCCAGCCGUUGGAUGCACUUGAAUAGGUGGGGUCUACGAGCAUCCAACGGUUGGAUGUAACUGUGGCACGGUACCACAGUUGCACCACAAGUUUUUCCUAUGUUAUAUUAUAUUUUUAUUUUUAUUUUUAUUUUUAUAAUUCUUGUUUUUUGUAUUUGUUUGAUUAUAAUACUACUAAUUAAUGAUAAUAAUUUCAACAACAAUAAUUAUUAUAAUAAUAGUAAUAAUAACUUUAACAAUUAUUAUUAUUAUUAUUCUAGAUAAUAUAAAUAAUGACAAUAAUCAACUAAGUUCAUUUUAGUAACUUAUAACGAUUUAUUUUGAUUUAAGAUAAAGUAAACACAUAAAUGAUAAUAUAACUAAUUUCGAUUUCGAUUAUGAUUUUUAUAAUUAAAAGUAGAUAAUGCAUUCAAAUUAAUAUUUCCAUUCUAAUUUUAGUCCAAUCUGAUUCCAGCCUAUUAUGAUUUCAACAAAUUACUAAUUAGUGAACACACUAUUAAAUUAUUUAUGGUUAUUUUCAAAAUCAGUGUCUAUUUUAUUAAUUGUUAGUACGUUGAAGUUAAUUCUUUGAAUAAAUAUAUUAAUUUUACUGAGAAAAAUAGACAGUACAAUUUGUAAUUAUUGAACGGAACCAUUUACUCCCAAGUUCCACCUUUGACUAUUUCUUGCCAUAAUCCAUAAAUAGUCAGAUACACAAUAGCAUGCCUUUUAACUGUUCUUUUAGGAUUCAGCACUUGACAUUCAUGAUAAGACGACAAAUCAAAUCUUAAAAAGAACUUUUGAGGUGAAAAAUUGAUUGUUAAUUGUAUACCAGUAUCUCCCAAAUUGAAUUUCGAAUCAAAGCAUUACAAUUCUGAGAUGCAUUCUAUAUUCAAUUCUGUUGAGUUAUGAUGAAACCAAAUUAACUUCACUCAACACGGUUCAUGCUACCAAAGUUUCCACAGGACACAAAUUAAAGCGUAACUGCUGAACUCACGAACAGAGAACCAUCCAACUAUGAUAUUGAUUUCUUAACAAACUGCAAACCAAGCACAUAAUAAUCCUUUAAAGCAACAACACCGGAGAUUUUUAUUAUGCAUAACACGAAACUGAAAUAACUAAAGGACAUGAAACUAAAACAUUAAUCUCCCCUAGAUUGUUGCAACCCUUGCUAAACUGAUGGCAGAGACGGCAUCAGCUGGGAUUUUGGAGGCUUUGGAACAUAUUUUCGAGCCCACACAUGCUUCCCGUUGAUGGUAAAUUUCACUUUGCCCAUACCAUUCAGAAUCACAUCAAUGGUUGCUGCUGAGCGAAAAACAAUUUUUGCAAAGAGAGACUGCUCACUGGACUGCACAUCCUGCAUGACCAAGGACUCAAAACAAUCCCCAUAGGUUCUUGUGAAGAAUUCUCCGACCUCCCUUUCCUCCACAGGAUAACCCUUAGAAAAUGUAACGAACAUGGUCCUAUCAUCUGGUGGUACCUCAUUUUCUGGAGUCACAGACUCUAACACAUCACUAGAACCAAAUCUCAUCUGAGAAAAUCCCGGGUGAACCGGAGAUUGCUGAAAAGGUUGGGCCGUCAUCAUCUUCUGGCUAUCUGCUAUGCUUUGAGCAGCAUUCCUGGCAACGGCUCGUUGCAUGAUGUCAUUCAAUGCUCUGAUGCAUACCUCAUUGGCAACUUUGGCCACCCCUUCAGUUGCCUUGAGCCGAUUUUCAUGGAAAAAUCUGAGAGAGAUUUCUUUGUCCAUCACGCUUUGGGUCAACGGAAUAACAUAACUCUCAGAUGAGCAAGCAGAAUGAUCGUUGUUAAUGCAGUUCAGACAUGUGACUGCUUCAUCUGCUAUUUCAUGGAUCAAUACAUCAGGCAAGGUUAAUAUUUUACUUACAACGUCGUUUAAGCUUGUUCUCUCCAACCAGAGCCAUAAGGCCAUAAUCUGCAAAGAUUCCACUGGAUCUCGCCAUAAGUUGAUGGUAAGGAGGGUGUAUAACUCCCUGUCAAUUGAAUGAAACAUCUUGAAUUCCUGUUCCGAAACAAAAGAAGAUGGAGGCAUCGUAUCUAGGAUAUGAUAGACAACAGUGCUGAGUUGGUGUAGAGAGACCACAAAAAUCAACCACGACCCUGCUAAAAUAUCAAUAUAGUCAUUACCAUCUUAUGAAUUUCAGAUAUGAGGAAAGGAAGAAAAGGAUUUGCUGGCUCGGCCUUUUACAAAACUACAGUUGUAUGGCUUGGCCAUUUACAAUAUUACAGUUGUACGGCUUGUCAGAGAAAGAAACGUAUUUUUUGAUAGACAAAAUAGUUCAAAUCAUCAGCCUGCAAGUGUCAACCAUAACGAAAGUCAUAAAAAACAAUGCCGUGCAUUUUGCAAGUAAAAAGAAACCUGCAGGUGUUCUUCUGAUGUCGGACUUGUUUCUUUGUGAAUUCCUCUCUUUGUGACCAACUAGCAUUGCCAAAAUGCUCCUGUAGUGAUACCAUUCUGAGUCCAAGCAAAUUUAUAGCACUAUGAGCUAAAAUGCAAACUAGAAAUGAGCUAGACCUGUAAUUUUGUUAUUUAAAACAUACUAUCAGAACUGUGUUGUCUUCAACAUCAUAUUAUGGAAAAAUAUACUUCUAUGGCAAGGGAUAAUUAAUGAUCCUCAAGGAAAACAUAGUUGGGGCUAUUCAUAGUUUUUCCUUUUUCAAGGUAUCUAAAAUUGGCAGUGAGGAAAUUAUAUAAAUGCUGAACAUAACAGAGCAUAUUAAAUUACUCAGCAAAUGGUUCCAAUAUCUAUCACUGAUUCAUUUCUACGCCAAUCAGCUGAUGCUAUCAAUUUUGCGACUAAUUUUGACAUCUUAGAAAGCAUCUGUUUUUCAUAUAUCAGUUUACUACACAUGAAAUUUAAUGGGGAUUGCAAAUGAAUUUGGCUAGUUUAUAAGCAGAAGUAAUACAUGCGUACAUAUAGAUAAAAGCAGUAUUAUAAUGAUAAGUUUUAGUAGUAUUUUUCAGUCCUGGUGCAAUGUAUUACAGAUUCUAAUUUCACAAAAGUAUUGGCUUAAUUCAUUUAUUAUACUGGUUUGAUCUUGAGGAGGAAACUACAUCAAUUGUAAUCCCUUCACUUAUCUUUGAUUGUAGUCUCUAGCUUAUCUACGUCAAGUUAACCCACAGCUUGAUACCAUAUCAAAAACUAAAAAAUAAAAACUAAUCUAUGAGUUUCAAAAACGACAAAUUUCAGAUUAAAAUAAAAUUAUUGACAGAAAUCAAAGUUUAUCCCCUCAAACCACAUAGGCACAUACAAUAUUUAUUUUACUAAGUAUGAAGAUCAACCAGGAAGAUUUAUCAUUAAUCCACUUGAUUUCAAUUAAAUACAAUCCUACUAUCAUCCCGUGAUUUGGUAUACCAGUUCAUGACAAAGAAAUACCUAUUUGGAAUUUUUUUCCACUUCAGAUUGAUCACCAUAAGUAUAUUUCUAAUUGGGUUAUUAUUAAUAUAUCUGUCAAGCAUGAUGUUUUUUCAAAUCAUCUGUAACUUUAACUGCUAAUAAGUCACAAAUCUUUUUAUGUUUUAGCGUAAACUAUGACUACCAAUUAACAGAAACUUACUAGCGGAAUAGCACCAACACCUAUCUAUUUUAUAGGAACUUGCCAAUCCAAUUUAUAGGAACUUACAUGCAUAAAAGCAUCAAAAUCUGAUCUUCAAUAUUGCUAAAUCCUCAGAAUGUUCAUUAAUUGCAGUCCAAAGCAACAAAUCCUCAUGGUUAGAGCACUGGAAGCAAAUUGCAAAAAGAAGAACGUUGUGGAGGUCUUAGAUUGAUGGUUGCUGAGAAGUCAGUAGCACAAAUCUGGAUAUCUGUAAUCAAACAUGUAUAGAGAUACAAAAUUGCUAGGUCUGAGUAGAACAAAACAUCAAACCUCAACUCAACAUUAGGAGGGGUUAAAGUGGAAGGAAGAGGUCAUAUGACAGGGAACCUUAUCAAAUUUGAACAAUUAUAGUCCAGCCGCCAAAACAAUAGAAGAACAAGACAAUAAAACACCAGAAAUACUACUGAUUAUAAGGGUACAUGCAAGAAUAAGACACUUAAGAACACAAUAGAAAAGGGUAAAUAUCUAUUUAUUCCAGUGUAAUUUUGUAGUUCAAAUGCUAAAAAAAAAUUCAGUCAAAUUCAGAAAGAUAAAAAGAUAUAUUUAGAUAUUUGUAUGAUACAGUGGAGCAAUCUAGUCACCAUCUACAAGCCAAAGGAGGCAAGGAAAAAGGAAGAGUACAGCUGCAGAUAAAGGCUCCAAAAUACACAUCAUAAGCGGAAUACCUAAAGCUGCAAGUACAAUCGACAAAGACUACAAGGUAAAAGAAGCAAACUGACUGCCAGAGACUUCAACAACAUGAAAUUUCUUCCAACUUCCAGGUUCAUAACAUGGAAAAAAAAAAGAAAGAAGUUAAAUUUCAAUACUAUUUGUCGUCCACAUCUCUGCCAUGAAAUGCUAAAACAGUUAUAUGUUAGGACUUGCAGCAGCAACACAUUGUAGAUCGGACAAGGAGAAAGAACGCCAGGGGGAGUUUCGUCGAAGAGGUGGUGGCGGUGAUCCAUUGCUGGGAGAUUUUUUACCUUGAGGAUGUAGAGGUGGAAGAUGAUGCAAAUGUGAUGAAGCAAUCGAGUCGGAAUCCCCUCUGUGAUUCAUAUCACAGCUUUUCAUGGUCAUUCCCGGAACCAUGGCGCUUCGACCACAGUUGGCCGGUUUCUUUGAUGCCCCUCUCCCAUUACUUUUAAACUGGUGGUUGUGAUUCUUAUCAAAUAAGUUAUUAUGAGCCAAUAGAUUCUUGCGUUUCCUGGUGUAUGGAUCCUCUGGCUUCGCAAGUUCCUUGAUAGAUGAAGCAGAGGAGACAUCAGCUAGGCUUGUGAAAGACUUUGAUUUUCCAUUAUAAAAACUGGAUAUACCUCUCCUGAUAUGUGGAAAAAUUUAAGCAAGUUUAGAACCAUAGAAAACAACACCAAAGUAAGUAUAACAAGAACUAGUAAAUUGGGCUGGAUACGGUAAUAUAAACCUUGAUAAAUUAGAAUAAACACCCCCCAUCAACAGCAGUCAAAAUAAUCUAGUUAUAACAACCUAAAUAUCUAUUAAAAAAGAAUGCAUCAAUCUAUCACAAUCUAAUACAUGGAAAUCUGCACUUAAGAUGGAAAAAUCAAUGUUCUGAAGUGCAGCUUUUCAGCAACUGCAAUUACAGGGUUUAAUGUCUAAGCCCCAACAAACAAACAUCCUCAAUUUUCUAAAAGCCAUCUUUAAAGUUCUCAAAACCUUUACCAUUCAAUAAAAUUACCCUUAAAAAGAAAAAUCACACAAUCAAAAAUAAAUAAAUAUAUAUAAAAAUCACAAAAUAAAAAUGAAGAAAUCGGGGGGAGGGAAAAAAAAGGACCUACUUGAUAGGCAAAACUUGCUCCAAAGCAUUCAAAGUAUCCAAGGGUCCUUUAUAGGAGCUCUGCACCUCGUCUGAAUCUUCACCGUCCGAUGGAACCUCAGAGACGUCACUGUUCCUCCCAAUCGACGAAGUACUACUGGAGUCCUCCCUCUCUUCCCCCACCGGAAACCUCCUAUCACCGGUAAAAGCUUCAGUCUCCGGUGAAUCGUAGACCGACGACACACACUGCAUGAACUUGGACCGUUGGAUUGGAUUACUGUUGUUUCUUUCCAAAGCAAUCGACAUCGUUCAAACCAUAAAUGAAGAUCGAUCAAAUAGACCAAAAAAAUAUUUAAAAAAUAACAGCGAAGGCCUGCAAUGUUUUGAGUACAAGAAAAUAUUAUAAUAGCAACUGCUGCUGCUGCCUACUGUUCUUGCACAUGGGCUGGCGAUAUUUUCACCAUUGCUUAUACGAGAGAGAAAAAGAAAGCUUUAGAUUUUCGUUUAAUUAAUUGAUUAAUUAGGAUUUUAAAAUGGAAAAAUAAAUAAAAGAAGAAUAAAUGAUGAAGGCGCAGCCUUAUCCUGCUCGUCGAAAAAUGUCGUCUUUUAAUGUUGGGAAGCCAAAAGAAGAUUAUCUGUUUCAGAUAUUUAUUUAUAAAUAUAUAAAGUUAAAAAAAAAAAACAAAAAUGGGGCGAUAGAGUUGUGGGCAAAGGUAGACACAGAAUAAGAUGCUUCGAGUCCGUAUAACUAUUCAACUACACAAGGAUAGGGUUGACUCUUGUAUGCCGCGUGGACGGCUUGAUUUUGAUAUUGGUUUCACCGAUCGUUUUAUCAAAAAUUUUUCUUUUUUUAAAAUUUAAAUUGAAACAGAUUACUGGAAAAUAUAAUUUGUGAGAAAAUAAUAAUAAUAAUAAUAAUAAUAAUAAUAAUAAUAAUAAUAAUGAAGCUAACAAGUGCUUACAAAUGCAUGGUGGGGUUGGAUUAGUGGCUAAUUGUUGUUCCUCGUUAAUGUCAAGUAUGUAAUUAGUAUUAAUUAAUUAAUAUGACUCGUAGACUGUAAUUGUAAUAAGUUUAAGCCAUGAAAAAAUUUUAAAAACUGUACACACAAAAGAUUAUUUUAGAACUUUAAUGGAGAAAGUACCAAGAAGUUCGUGUUAAAUUGCGCGGGACAUUACCCAUAUUUGAUUUAGCUCGUGUCUGCUAAAGUAUUUUUUUGUGGAUCUAUUUCAACUUUAGUUUUUUACUUAAAAUUUUAACAUAAAUUUUAAAUCAAUAAUUUAAUCCAAUUUGAUGGUUAAUAAUUAAAAUAAUAAUUAAUAAUAAUUAGCCAAACCAUUUAAGAUAUAUUAAUUUAAUUCACUAUGCAAUUAAUGUCUUAUUUAUGAUUGAGGUGUUGUAACUAAGCUACAGUUACUGUGGAAAAAAAAAAUAUAAAUAUGAAAUAAAAGUUAAUAAUAUGUAGUAAAUAUAAAUUUUAAAAUAAUAAUUUUGAUAAAAUUAUUAAAAAUAUAAUAAUUUUUUUAUCAUACAAGUGAAAAAUCAUAUCAAUAUAUCUCUCUAGUUACAAUAAUUAUUAUUUACUAAAUAUUUUAAUAUUGUAACUUUUAAAGUACAUGUGUCCAAUUUUAAUUCCAAACACAUCUUAAAACAUCCUAAUUACCCAGUGAACCAUUGAUCUCACUUGAAUUUGCAUCUAAAUAAUAUUCACAGUUAGACAAAAUUCUUGAAUUGAAUGGUCAAUGAACCCUGGAACUUCUAGCAAAUAAAAUGUCAUCUAACUUUCAUUUUUGGAAGUAUUACAGUCCUAACUCUCUUGGGCAAUAAUUAUCCUCUUGAGGUUAAAUCUCAAUUGUGUUCGUUGUAAUGUAUCGAUCUAACGGUUUAAAAAUUGUCCAAUUUGUUUAAAAAGUGUAUGUUAAACGUCUUUAUUAAUGGCAUUAAAAUUAUACUUUGGGGCGGCUUAAAAUUAUUUUUCGAAAUGGCUAAAAGUGAUUUUUGUAAGUAAAAAUUAUAUGUUGAAAAAUCAUUUUAGAAGUACUCUUUAGUAAUAUCACUCCUAUUAUAGAAUAUACUUCGAGCGACAUGAGAGGAGAAUUAGUUUUUCACUUGAUUAUAUGUUUACAAAACUAGGAUACAAUCAUUGUAUAAAAAAAUUAUGAUUAUUAACUUUUGAAAUUUACAUAUAUUUUUUUUUCCACAGACACUCCUAAGAUUUGCAUUUUGUAUGAGUAUAUUUGCAUAAUUGAUACAAAGUUUUAAUAGUAAUGAUUUUCUUAUUUGUAAGAGAGUGACAACAGGAGUUAAGACCACCCCCAACUUAGGAUGCAUUUGGGGCAAUUGCUCCCUACCCUAUAUUUUAGGGAAAUAUCUCCUAUAAUAAAACAUGGGAGGCAGAUACCCCAAACGGAAACUUAAUGGUUUACAACUCUCUAAAGUUUAGUGGUUCAAUUCUCUUCAUGUAUUUUGAUUGAAUAAAUUUUUAUCCCGCUUAAGUAAUUGCGGAGGAUGGUCUGAUGAAUGUUGUACUAAAUUACUAAUAACGAAGUUUGGAAGUUAGGAUUUAAAUGUGAGAUUGGAUUAAUUUCGGGAUUAAAUAUUUUAUCUCAUGUAUUGGUUGCUUUGCUUGGAUUGAAUUAGGGAGGACUAAAUUUAAGUUUAAUCCUAAAAUCAUGGGAUUAACAAUUCCAAAUUAUAAGUAGGUUUAGAUGGGAAUAGAAUAAGUGAAAAGGAUUUUAUUUAUUUGCAAUGGUUUAGAUGAGAUUAGAAUAAGAGAAAAAGAUUUAUUUAUUUGCUAUAUUUCUUUCACAUGUAACACAAUUUUUUAUUUGUCACUUAAAAUUUAAUUAAUUAAUUAUUUAUUUAUUUAUUCAUAAUUUACUUGAAAUUUAUUUUUUCUUUUGUUUUUAUAGUCAAUUAAAUUGGCACUUUUACUCCAAUAAAAUUAACUAUUUAAUAAAUUGUUACAAUAAUUGAUUGUAUUAAAUUUAAUAAUCACUAAUGUAAUAUUAAAAAUAAUCAUGGAAAUUAAUAAUACAAGCAAUUAAUUGAUUAUAUAUAUAUUAUUUGCUAAUUUUUUGAUAAAAUAAAAUAUAUCUAAAAUCUCUGAUAAAAACUAAUUAAAUAAUAAAUAGUUUUAUUAAUUUAUAUUUGUUCAUUAUAAUUAUGACUACCCAAUAACUAAUUUACUAUACAUUUAAUGUUCUUAUUAAUUACCUUUAAAUUAAUUUUAAUUAUUACUCUUAAAUAUUCAUAACAUUUGAAUUUUAAACAUUGUCCAAUCCGAUAUUUUACCAAACAUAAUACAAUAUUGUAUAAAUCCAACCUAAUCAAAUCCAAACUAAUCUAGUCUAAUCAUAAUAUUUAGUUCAAUCUAAUCCUGCAUAACAAAUGCAACCUAAACAAUCAACUGAAAAUAUGAAAAUUUAAAAUUAUAUUUAGAUGUGAUUAAUUAACGCAAUCUCUUUUUUUUUAAAAAAAAAAUCUGCAAUUAAAUUAGAAAUUUAAAUUUUUAACAUCAGAAAAAUAUUUUAAUUUUUGGUUUUACAUUUGAAAAAAAAUUCAAAUGUAACAUCCGAAAAAUAUUUUUAGUUUCUCAAAUGUAAAAAUUUUCAUAAGAAAUUGCAUGCAAUAUGCUCCAAAAAGAUUAAAAAAAGUUAUGAAUAUAUACUUUGAGUAACUUUACAAUAUAGAAAUCCAAGAGUAAGUUAAAAGAUAAAAAAUGACGUACACUAAUGCUGUAUAUUUUAUCUUAUAAUACGUUGAUUUUUUUUUUUAUCAUUUUAACUCAUCAAAUUUUGUAUUGUAAUCCUUUAUGAGGUGCAAUCGAUUUUCACAUGGAUUUUCUUGGAUGAGCUGCGAAGAUACAACACCGUCCGUAGUUUUAAUUACUCGACUCUCCCCAAUCUUAUAUGUAAACUAGAAAAUAGACCCGCAUUUCACGCGGCUUUGAAAUAAAAAUUUAGUAUUAUCCUUUUUUCUAACUUUACACUUGAUGAAAUUGAUAAAAAAUAAGAAUUGAUUUUUUUUUUUUUUUAGAUGAGGCAGCCUUAUACAAAAUAAAAAAGCUAUUAGCUAGCAAUACAAAUAAAGAAGCAACACAAGAUAAAGAAUAGAAUGAGAGAAUAUAUUUUAGAGUGAUUUUAUUUAUUUCAAUUGUGUGUGUACAAAACAAAAAGAUGAGCUCUCAUUUUAUAGUUACAUAAUCACUCCAUGAAGUUAAUGAAAAAUUAUGGAUCAUAAUUUCUUGUGAGAUAGUGGGAGUUAUGGGGAAGCUAAAGGUUGCUAAUGGGAGAUAAUGAAGAGACUAAUAGAUAUAUGUUAUGAACAUUUACAUUUAUUUUAAUAAAUUCAUAACACUUCCCCUUGGAUAUUCAUUACAAAGAAUAUGCUUCAUUAAAAUUUUUACAUAAUUGUUAUUAUGUAAUAACAAUCAAAUUAAUUAUGAGAAGAUGAAAAGUCAAAUUUAAAAGAAAAUUUCUCUAUUUAUUAGAUAAUAGAGAAUAUACAAAUAAGAGAAAUGGUAAUACCACAUCACCUUCUUAAGUCCCAGCUUUAUAUAGAUAUAUAGAUAGAUAUAGAUUGAGGGAAGAUGAAAGAACCUCUCUUCCUAUAUUAAUAAAUUCAUGUAUUUUAAGCCACUAAAGUUUAAUUGCUAGCAUAAUAAAAUAAAUUAAUGCUUCAAAAUACUUAUAAUUAAUUAUUAUUAAUGGUUACAUAUUGUUGGAUUUAAAUAGAAAGAGGAAGAAACAUGUACAAAGAAUAUCCACUAAUAUUUUAGAUAUUUUAGAUAAUAUAAAAUAUAAAAAGAUGAGGUUGAUGGAAGAUGAAAGAACCUCUCUUCCUAUGUUAAUUAGUUGAUGUAUUUUGAGGCACUAAAGUUUAAUUGCUAGCAUAAUAAAAUUUGAAGAAGCCAAAAGGCACUCAACAAAAGGUUGCAUAAUUAAAUAUGAGAUUAUGACAUUAAAAUUAGACCCUAGUGGCAUUGUUGAGGGAAGAUGAAAGAACCUCUCUUUCUAUGUUAAUUAAUUCAUGUAUUUUAAGCCACUAAAGUUUAAUUGAUAGCAUAAUAAAACAAAUGAAUGUUUCAAAAGACUUAUAAUUAAUUAUUAUUAAUGGUUACAUAUUGUUGGAUUUAAAUAGAAAGAGGGAGAAAUAUGUACAAAGAAUAUCCACCAAUAUUUUAGAUAUUUUAGAUAAUAGAGAAUAUAAAAACAUGAGGUUGAGGGAAGAUGAAAGAACCUCUCUUCCUAUGUUAAUUAGGUGAUGUAUUUUAAGGCACUAAAGUUUAAUUGAUAGCAUAAUAAAUUUUGAAGAAGCCAAAAGACACUCAAUAAAAGGUUGCAUAAUUAAAUAUGAGAUUAUGGCAUUAAAAUUAGGCUUUAGUGGCAUUGUUGAGGGAAAAUGAAAGAACCUCUCUUCCUAUGUUAAUUAAUUCAUGUAUUUUAUGCCACUAAAGUUUAAUUGCUAGCAUAAUCAAAUAAAUAAAGGUUUCAAAAGACUUAUAAUUAAUUAUUAUUAAUGAUUACAUAUUGUUGAAUUUAAAUAGAAAGAGAAAAAAUAGUACAAAGAAUAUCCACCAAUAUUUUAGAUAUGUUAGAUAAUAGAAAAUAUAAAAAGAUGAGGAAUGAUAUAUAUUAAUAAAGUUACUAUUUAUUAAAUGAGUUAAAUACAAUCAAAUUAAUUAUGAGAAGAUGAAAAGCCAAAUCUAAAAAAAAAAUCUCUAUUUAUUAGAUAAUAGAGAAUAUACAAAGAAGCAAAAUGGUGAUGCCACAUCACCUCCUCAAGUCCUAGCUUUAUAUAGAUAUAUAGAUAUGUGAUGUACCGACCAACUCACAAGCAUUUUAAUGUAGAGGCACUAUAGUCUUUUACUGUAUCAUUAUGCACCACAGCUUGAUGGAGUAUAUAUAUUUAUAAUUUUAAUUUUUUAGGGCUCGUUUGGUAUGUCCGAUUGGAUUGGAUUGGAUCGGAUUAGGUAAGAUAUGAUUGGAUUGGAUAAUACUUAAUUAUAUAUAAUAUUAUGUUGUGUUUGGUAUGUCAUGAGAUUAACUAGUAACUAAUAAUAUGUCUUAUAUAUUAAUUUAUUAAAAUCAUCGUAGAUUUACUUUAAAAUGACAUGUAAUAUAAUCUAACUUAAAUAAAUAAUUAUUGGUAAAUUUAUAAAAAAAAAUGCAAAAUCUUCCCUUAAUUUUUUUUAAUAUUUAACAUGUUAUAAUUUUUAAUCCCAUGAAUAAUAGAGGACAAAGUUUUAUCUUAGAAAAUAUAAUCCCAAGGGUCCCCUUGGGAUGAAAUUUUGCCACUAUUGCAAUUAAGCGGUGGGCCCAUUAUUGUUAUCAUACAUUUACUUUUUUUUACACCAAAUAUGACAUAAGGAUUAUUUUACACUAAAGUUAUCCAAUCCCAUGAUAUAUAACUAAGGAAAAUGCUACUUACCCUGAGUCAAAUCCCGAAAGUAAUAAACGACGUCAUUUCAAUCCUUUUUUUUUUUUUUUUUCCCUUAACCAAGCCCUAAAACGACGUCAUUUUGGCAAAAUUAUUGCAGUUGCUGGUUGGCCUUUGACUGCUUUGAUCUUGUGGCCUACAAAUUUCGUAUUUAAAACCUUUCGCACUCCUCUUGACUUCAAACUCACUCUAUCUUUUAUUAUCCUGGGUUUUCUAAGUGCUGCAGAUAAUCUCAUGUAUGCAUACGCCUAUGCCUAUCUUCCGGCAUCAACUGCUGCUCUUUUGGCAUCAUCAUCGCUAGUUUUUUCCACCCUAUUUGGUUAUAGCGAUAAUAACAGCUGUUAUGACUGUAAUUGCACUGGAUUUAGAUUCUGUUAGAUACGGCAACAUUACUGUCGGACAAUACAUCAUGGGUUUUGUUUGGGAUAUCCUAGGAUCUACACUAUGAUCUCAUCUUUGCCCUUUUUGAACUAGUUUUCGUGAAAUUAGUAGGCAGAAUGUCACUUUUGCCCCGAUGGCUGGGUAUUUUGUGAUGGAACCCUGCGUGAUUGUGGCUGCCACGCUGAUGGCUGUUGGUGUGGUAGGUGCGUGAUGGUGGCUGUGAAAUGAAGGGGAGAGAAACAAAGAAAUAGAAGGAGAAAGGGGCUGUGAGACGAAGGGAAAGAGAAAGCAAUUUGGGGCUGUUGUUGAUUUUGCCUCAACAAAGCUGGAACGAAGGGGAAAUGGGCUGUGAGACGAAGACAUAGAGAAACCUAUUCAGCUUUAACAAUUUUUCCAAAACGACGUCGUUUAGCUUGAAUGAGAGGGGAAAAAAAAGAUUGAAACGACGUCGUUCCUUUAUUGCUUUCGGGGUUUGAUUCGGAGUAAAUAACAUAAAUCUAUAACUAAAACCAAACGGGGCCUUAAGGUAUAACGAAAAGAAUGAUAGUUUUUUUUUAUUUUAAAUUGUAGAGCGGAGGAAAAGUUAGAAAAAAUUUUAAAAUAGAGCUUAAAAGUCUUAAAAUUUAAAAUUAGAAAAACUUCAGGAUUUAUGCACUGUAAAAUUCCGAGAAAAAAAACUACUAUUGAGAAAAUGGGCGACUGACUGGAGGAGCAUUUUGUAAUUUGCUGGACCAUCAAGGGAAGCUGACGGCCCAGGCCACCACAAAACCAGCAGAGCGGAACCUGCAGUAGGUGAAAGGACUGACCGUGAGAACCGUGAGUGAGAGGCAGGUGUGGAAAUGUCAAGUAACAGCAACAGAAUAGAGACAUACGAGGACUUUGUGAAAGUUCACGGUGUACUGUUGGCAGCUUCGGGGCUACCGCAGUCGCUGCACCGCCAGCUCUUCCAAAAGCUCACCACUGAAACUUUCGAUGCCGGCUCUUACUUUAAAAUCGAGGUUUGCGAGGACGGUCGCCAGAGAAGGCUCGUGCUGGACUCUCAAUCCAUGCCUAAAGAAUCAAACGUUUUCCUCGUCGACCAUGCCUGGACUUUCCGUCUCUCUGAUGCUUUUAGUCAGGUCCUUGCCAUGCUUUCUCCAGAACGCUAAUGUUAUUCUUGUAUUUGCAUUUUCAAAAGAGUGAAAAAAAAUGAAUGAAAAUGAAUUUGGACUGCUUUAUGAGGAGAAUUGAUAGCUAUAGAUAAAAAUGAAUUUGAAAAUAGCGUUAAUUUUGAGUUGUGUUUUGCAUUCUUAAGAGAACUGAGUGAUGAUGGAACAUGGUUCGGAGUUUUGAUACAAGGACGUGUACUGACAGUUGGCAAUUUCUGAGUGAUUGCAGCUACAGGAGGUGCCAGGGCUGGCUCAGAGAAUGGCUUCUUUGAUGUGUGUAGAUACUGAUCUUGAUACAGAUAUUGAAGAAGUGGACGCUGUAAAGGGAGUUUUGCAUGAGAAUGGCACCAAAUCAAAUGUUGAGGACAUACUGGAGAGUGAGAUUCAUAAUGCAACCGAAAAGGGUGAUGGCACUGUUAAGUGGUUGGAGCUUGAGGAUGCUGACAUUGGUGAUGAUAUGCUUCUGUCUCUCAAUUUGUCUAGUAAAUUUCCGGUUCGUUACUUUAGUUAAUCUUAUAUGUAUAUUUUUGUAAUAUAGCAUGAGGCAUGUUUUUCUGUUGACACCAAUUAUUUGGUUAUCCAUAUUGAUGUUUUUUACCUGUAGUUUAGGUCUUGGACUGGUGUUUUAAUCAUUGUUUAUCCUGUAAUGCUCUCUAUUCUUCAUGCUCCUUGUUGCAUUAGGAUUUACAAGCACUUAGCCUCUGUGGAAACAAGCUUGAGACAGUGGAAAUUAUCGUACAGGAAGUCACCAAAUUAAAAAAUCUAAGGGCUUUGUGGCUGAAUAAUAAUCCAGUUCUGAAAAAAUGGUACGACAGAUGAUAAAUGAAUGAUUGCUAUGAUCGUUUAAAGUUAAUGCUAGUGGUUUUCUGUCAGGUGGUGACUGAAUUACCUUUUUUCUCAGUGAUCAUUGCAUGGAAGAUGCAAUUUUACAAGGAUGUCCUAAACUGGAAAUCUACAACUCAAAUUUCACCAUUAAUUUUGGUGAGUGGGCUUUGGGAUUUUGUGGAGAAGUUUAUGACAAGGAUAAUCCAAGUAGUCUUUGUCUGAGAGACCGUCCCUUGCAAAGUGUGACCUCACUUGACCUUUCAAAUAGAUGUAUUCACAAUCUGGUCAAUAAGGUGUCAACAUCUUCACUGUACUCUUUUUUUUCCCCCUUCUCUUCUUUUGUUAAUUAGUUACUUUUCCCUCGUUAAUUGUAAUCCAUACAAACUAAAUAUUUCCAUAUUCAGGAAUCAUUCUUUGUUAAGAAAUUAAGGUCAAGAAAUCUAGCACACUAUGCACUUUGUUCAAAGUUUGUACUUGUUCUUUCAAGCAAUUUGUCCUUUGAGGAGUUCAUUUUUUAUGAUUCAUUGUUUUUCUCCCUCCACACAGGCAUUUUCACCUGCUGAGAUGCCAUCUCUUUCACAUUUGAAUAUUCGGGGAAAUCCACUAGAGCAGAAUUCAGUUCGUGAACUGUUGGAAGUCUUGAAGGGAUUUCCCUGCCUGCAAUCUUUGGGGGUAUUUUUCUUUCUAGAAAUAGUACUUUAGUUUUCCAGCGGGACACUGAUGAAUGUAGAACAAUUAUUUGUAGGAUAUUUCAGAUCUUCACCUUUUUUUGUAGGUCGAUAUACCUGGCCCUCUUGGAGAAAGUGCCAUUGAGAUCCUUGAAUCUCUUCCCACUCUUUGUACAUUGAAUGGUGUCACUGCUUCUAAAAUUUUGGAAGAGGGGAAACAUGUGAUUGAUUCCAUGCUUCAACCACGCCUUCCUGAAUGGAGUGCUGAUCAACCUCUUGCUGAUCGUGUUCUUAGUGCAAUGUGGUUGUAUUUGAUGACAUAUAGGCUUGCCAAUGAGGAGAAGAUAGAUGAAACAUCUGUAUGGUAUGUUCUUGUCUCUUGAUCUUGCAGUUUGCUUCAUAUCUUUUAUCUUAAAUACUCUUCUUAUUGGCUACAAACACAUUUAGACUGGUGCUUUGCCUGGUAUAAUUUGAUCUCAUAAGUCAAUUGGGAGGGAAAGGUUUUUGGAGAAAAUAUUUAAAACAGAUUUGAUUAGCUACAGCAAAUUUGAGCUGUCCAUCUUUUUUGUUUAAUUGAUGCUUGUAAAUACGAUGUUACUUUAUCUAUCAAGUUGGGAGGGAAAUACUUCCAAGUAAGUACGUUGAAAAUUUUCCUUUUGGCUAAUGCCUUCUGAAGGUAUGUGGGCAGUUGUGGGUGAAGUUGGUGGGAUGAGGAGAAAUACAAGUCCUCUAAAUGCAUCGAGGAUAAGAACUCUUAGGUGAGGGGUGAUGUUAUUGACGGUAGAACAUGCUUUUAGAGAGUUAUAAAGUGGAGAUCAUAUAAAAAGUAAUAAGAAUAUAUUCUUUAAAGAAGAUCAAAACCCGUAGAUUCUACUAAGAUUGAAAAAUCUGAAUUUUAAGAAGUCUCAACAACCAUGACAUGCUAAAGAUAUGUCUGAUGGAGCUUUUAUUACGUAUAAACUAAUUCCUAGAAGGUGAGUUGCGAAUUUAGUUGGCAUACCAAAAGUAUUAUCAAUAAACUGGUACUCUUGACUUUGAUGAUCUGUUAUUCUUGGUAAUUUCAUAAAAGUUACUUGCAUGAAAAGUGUUGUUAGUGAUAUCCUUGAACGUGAUUGGAUUGUUGGACUCAUUCAUGGCUUAAAGGUUGGGUUAAGGCUUUUCUGUUAUCUUGGAAAGCAUUUUGAGACUUAAGGCAGGGUUAAGGCUUCAGUCUUAUGGGAUUGCACAGUUAUGGCUAUAUUUUGGGUCCUAUGGAUUGAAAGAAACUCAAGAAUUUUUUAGAGCAAAAUGAUGGAGGAUUACAUGUAUAUUUGGGAGAGAGUUAAAUUCUGGGCUUCUCUAUGGGCUUGGAUCUCUCUGGAGGUUAAAGAUUUGUCUUUCUUUUUUCUUUUGAUUAAUUGGGAAGCAGCUAUGGUGUAAUUUCAUUAGUUAGAACUUUUAAUCUUUUAGGAUUUACAGUUCUUGGGGUUGGGGUUUUUUGUCUUCUGUCUAUAUGCACAUCUUUUCCCUCCUCUAUGUACAUUUCCUAGUCUAAUAUACUUAUUUUGUUUCUCAGCCAAAAAAAAAAAAGCUAUGUCUUUAGUGCAAUUAUGUCUCUAGCUGUUGGAUUUGUGGCAAAUAUAUAGAAUAAAAAUAUACCAUUCAGAGCUUCCGAGCUUCUUUAUGAGUCAAAAUUUAGUCUUUUAUUUCUCAUACACGCCCAACAACAAUGAGUGUGUUAGCAUCUCCCAUUUUGAUUACCAUGUUGCAUCAUUCAUUUUGUAGCAACAACGUAACAUGGUACUGAUAUUAUGGAAGUUGAGGUUAUGCCUUAUCAGUAUAUUAAAGAACUACCUGUCCUUUAAUUUUAUUUCGUUGGCCGUGUGGUCAGUCUCACAAUUAUCACUGUCUUUGACAACUGUAAAUGAAAGUCAUGGCAUUUUUUUUCAAAUGUUAGUAUUACAUAGUGAUAAUUAAACCCUUCCUCCAACUGAACUGGCUGACAACUACAAUGAAAGCUAUGACAUGAAUGAUCAUUUCUUUGGGGUUUUCUGCAGGUAUGUUAUGGAUGAAUUAGGUUCAGCUGUGCGGCAUAGUGAUGAGCCAAAUUUCAGGGUAGCUCCUUUCCUCUUCAUGCCGGAAGGGAAAUUAUCGUCAGCUGUGAGGUUCGAUAUUUACCUUUUAGCUGUAGCACAUUUUUUAGUCUUUCAUUGUGCCCUGUUUCUGUUGUUGACAUUGAUAUCUAAAGUGUAGUUAUAAUAGAGUUCAGAUAUGUUCCUUUGGAUUAGAACAAUUAUAUAACUACUUUUUGCAAAAACAUAUUUUUUUUAUGUUCUUAUUUGUUAAUAUUUACUCAUUGAAAAACAUAUUCCCUGUGCUCUUCCUAUGAAACAUAAAUUACAAUUCUUGUGAAAGCCAUAACAUGAAUAAAUUUUCUCUUUCAGCUUUUCUAUAUUAUGGCCAAUACAGAAUGUUUACAAAAGUGAUGAGUGCACUCGUGAUUUCUUAUAUGGUAUUGGGGAGGACAAACAACGAUCUGCCAGACUUACAGCUUGGUUUCAUACUCCACAGAGUUAUUUUAUCAAUGUAUUAUCUCCUAUUACUAGCCCUACAGAUAUUUCCUUCUUGAAAUAUAUUUUACUUCUAGUUUGGUAUUAAUUUUCAUUGAAUCUUGCAGGAGUAUGAGAAACACUGCCAGAAAUUGCAGUUCAAAAGUUUGAGCUACACACCUACCAAGUCUUCUAACACUGAAAGUCUGCAUCGUAGUGACGGAUGUGCUUCACGUGUUUACACUGACAUACCUUAUGUGGAAGAAUUUUUGACUCGUACUGAAUUUGUAAUCAGUAAGUAUAGUGAUUCAUUGAUUUAAGGGUUUCUAUUUCCUGUUCGACUAGUUUAAUGUUUCAGUUGCUAGAUUUGUGAUUAUACUUGGGUUUACUUCUAGAUUGACUUGUGCUUCUUGCUUAGAUUUUACUUUCUGGUCGGGGAUAUGAUUUGCUGGAAAAAGUUGUUGAGAUUUUUUAUCUUGAUGUCAUUAAUUUUACACUAUAUACACCCUAUGCCUUUGCACUUCUGAUAUUUCCUUUCUUCUUCCUCUUACAGCAACUGAGCCGAAGGAUGCUGAUAUUAUAUGGACAAGUUUGCAGGUGGAUGAGGACAUGAAAAAGGCUACUGGAAUAACAGAUCAGCAAUAUGUAAACCAAUUUCCUUUUGAGUCUUGCCUUGUAAUGAAACAUCAUUUGGCAGAGACUGUUCAGAAGGUUAGAAUAAUGAACUAAUUUAUCAUUUCACCAAGAGCAUAUUACAAGAACUGAACUGUUAUCUGUUAAAAAGUUUAAAAUAAGAACUUCUCUUGUCAAUAUUUAUUAUAUAUAUCAAUUUAGCAGAGUAACAUGCUUAAUAUACCAAGACUGAGGGGGAAAAAAAAGACUUGCAAUUGAUUCUGCCAGAUGUCAUUAACUCUAAUUUUCUCCUUCCAACAGGCACAUGGUUCUCCUGAAUGGUUGCAGCCUACUUACAAUCUUGAAACGCAUCUACCUCAACUUAUUGGUGACUAUUACGUACGGAAAAGAGAUGGGCUUAAUAAUUUAUGGAUAUUAAAACCUUGGAACAUGGCAAGGACUAUUGAUACCUCUGUGACUGAUGAUUUAUCUGCUGUUAUCCGUCUCAUGGAAACUGGUCCGAAAAUAUGCCAGAAAUAUAUUGAGUUCCCUGCUUUGUUCCAAGGAAGGAAGUUUGAUCUUCGUUACAUAGUACUGGUUCGCAGUAUGGACCCUUUAGAAAUAUUCCUUUCAGAUGUUUUCUGGGUAUGCUAAUUCCUCUUUAAGAUUCUAUAAAAUGAUAGAAUGAUGUGAUUACUAUUUCCUUACUAUUCUCAUGUUCAUAAUUGAGGAAUGCUUUCUGCUAAUGUAGAUGCUCAUAUUACUUUUUGUUUUUCCUUGCUAUAUUUUCAGGUUAGACUGGCAAACAAUCCAUAUUCUUUAGACAAGCACAGUUUCUUUGAGUACGAGACACACUUUACAGUUAUGGUAUGUUUAAGCAUCACUUUUAUGCACAAUGACUGUUUUUAAUCUCUGGGCGGUUAUGCAUGUACAGUGGCCCUCUGUUUGAUGAACUCUGAUUUCGAUGAAGAGAAUCUGAUAUUUAUUGGAAAUUACUUGUUUUACCUGGAUUAUAUUUCAACACUUCUAAGGAGCCUUUAAAUUUAGUCCUUUCAAAAACUUCUUGUGGUUUUCAGAAUUAUGGUCGGAAAUUCAAUCACAUGAACACACCGGAUUUUGUGAGGGAGUUUGAAGUGGAACACCAAGGUAUUAGGACUUUCCUAACUAGUGUAAUACUGAUUGCCAAUCAAUGUAGAAAGUUGGUGAUCACAAAGUAAUAGUAUAUUAUUAACAUACUUGAAUUUAUGUGCUAUGUUGAUAUCUGCGUUUGUUUCAGUUAAAUGGUUAGAAAUUCAUCAGAGAGUCAAAAAUACUAUCCGAUCUGUCUUCGAGGCAGCUGCUGUUGCACAUCCAGAGAUGCACAGUUCAAAAUCUAGGGCCAUGUAUGGUGUGGAUAUAAUGCUUGAUAGCUCUUUUCAGCCCAAGUUACUGGAGGUUUGUAACGUUAGCUAACAUUUCCCUUUUUUGGCAUAAAUGAUUGGAAUGCAGUUUGAACUAAGACCUCUAUUAUCUAAAUUUCGUAAUUUUUGAUUUACUGUGUUCGUUUGCCAAAAAAUUAAGCAAACAAAAGAUUCGUCUUUCCUCAAUGAAAAUAGUACGUAUGUUGUGUUUCGUGUAGGUUACUUACUGUCCAGACUGUACAAGAGCGUGCAAGUAUGAUACAGAAGCUUUAGUCACAGGGGAAGUAGUCAAAGGUGCUGAUUUCUUCAAUUAUGUCUUUGGUUGUCUCUUUCUAAACGAAACCGCACAUGUAACCCCAUUGUAAUGCAGCUAUAUUAAUUUGUACCAAGUGUCAUGAUAGAUUGUCAGUGUGUCAUUCUUCUCCUUAAUUCCUUAUCAAAAUUUUGUCAUGAAAAGAUUUUCCCUGAUGGAUUACAGAGUUUGUCCACUGUGCAAGGUCUUACCAUUUCCUUUCGAAGUGAUCCUAUACUCUGCUAUAGUGGCAGAGUCCAUAACUGAAGUUGCUAAUUCGUCCAUGUUUGUUGUUUGGUUUGCUGCCUAAUAUUAGUCGGGACUGGGAUAAUGUCGGACUUGGGUGUAUGAUUCCUGGCAUUUUCAGAUUUGAAGUUUAUAAGCAAAUCUUAGCCAAUGAACUUAUGAAUCUUUACAUCGGUUGCCCUGGCUGUAACUGGAAUGUUGGGAAAAUCUUUACCUGUAAUUGAAUUGACCCUUUUUUUUUUGGUGGGGGGGAUGAUUGGGUUAAUUUUUUAAGACACCUUAUUAUUAUUUUGACAAAACCUCAAUUGUUCCCAACUUUUUGCUGGGCAUCUUCUGUCCGUUACUCGUCGCCAUUAAAUUUAGUUAGUUUAAACGAGUCCAUUAAAUUUAACGGCGGUGACGGUGGCUGAUUUUUUGUUUUUCUAAUAGUGGCUAUGCAGCUCAGCUCUCAUUAAUGACAUGAAGCAUUGGUUGUGGGGCGAUUUGUUAUCAAAAUGAAAUUAGAGGGCGAUUGAAUCUUAACAAUAAACGAACCUUAACCUUCAUUUAAUUAAAGAGGCGGAAAAACAAAAAUUUGUCACCUGUUUACGAAAAGUAUUUUAGUUAAAUUUUAAAUGAGAAAACAGCUGUCAACAAAGCACCAGUGGUCUGUCAACAAAGCACCAGUGGUCUAGUGGUAGAAUAGUACCCUGCCACGGUACAGACCCGGGUUCGAUUCCCGGCUGGUGCAUUUCAUUUUACCAUUUUCAUCUCCACUGCGGAAAUCAUGCUCUGUCGAGUUUGGGAAGAAAAAAGUAAUGCUUCCAAUCAAAGACUGAAUCGGCCAAGAAAAAUUUUCACCAAAUCAGAAACGUUAAGCUGAAAUUACUAUAAAUUUAAUACCCAUCAAAGAAAAAAGAAACUGUGUUUAUGUACAUUGAACCAUAUACCUAGGGCUGGUUGAAAAGUGUGUCUACUCCCAUAAUGGAGGGAUGUCCAACCUACCUUUCUUCACAAGAAUCACAACACAUAAAAGAAUGGCUUCACAGGAAAAUUACAAAGUAAAUAUCAAUCUACACAUUUCUUUUGAAAAGGAACAAUUACGCUGUGUCAUGCUCAUUUGAUUCUGCUGGUCCAUGUUGAUUUCUUCUUGUCGAAAUUUUCUUUUGCAAUUCAAUAUUUGACAUCCGCUCAACCUCCAAUGCUCGCUCAAGCUUUUUAACAAGUUGUGCUUCAGUUAGAACAACAGAUACAAUUUUUACAGCAACGUAAAUAAGCACCAGAGUGUGUGAAUGUAGAAUUAGAUUUGUGUUUUUUUUUUUUGGGGGUGGGUGGGGUUUGCAAGCGGGGAGAGGGAAAAAAAGGAAAAAAAAAAAAAAAAACAUUCGCGGAGAGUAAACAUAAUCCAUAAGAUGGUUGGUACCUUUGCUGCUCGGGUACUCCAUUCUCCUAAAAUUGCUCUAAGCCUUUCAUUCUCCUCCACAUACUGUUUUAGUAGUUUUAUUUGUUAAAAAAAAAAAAGUAAAUACAUGGAUGUGACAAUCCCAUAACAAAAGUUCUUCAAGAGAUACAUUCAUGGCAUAAACCACAUCAUGAAAUUUCCAAGUCUUACUACAACCAAACAAAUACAAUGCUAAUUUUCUGCAAGAGUAAGACACCAGUUUCUGUCCUUCAGGAAAUUGACAAUUUCCUAGCAUAUUAGUAAAAGGGGGCAGUUUAUAUUCAGAUUUAGCAGUUAACUGGCUUAGCUAAAGAGAAAUAUUAAGAGAUUUACAUUGAAAGACUACCCAAUUAUAUUUAAACGUUGGCACUGAGAUUUGUAAAGAAGGAAGGGUCCAUGCAAUGAUUAACGAUAAGUUGGUAGAGAGUUGCUUUUAUCUUAUCUCACAAGAACAAGAUAGAAAAGACUAUGUAGUAUGUAGUAUGUAGUUACCAAACAGAAAGGUUGAUUAAACUUUUUUUGGCAUUUAAAUCUUCUAUCCGGUGAUCAAGUUUUUUACUUUUUAAAUACUGCCCUCAUGCUCUAGUACCCUCUCUCUUGGAAGUAUUUCCAUUUUAGUACAAUAACACGUGACUAAGAUUUCGUGAAAAAGUACAUAAUAUCAUAAAUUGGCAUAUGUCACAGAAAUAUACUACUAGAAAAUACCUGAUUGUUGGUAUUGCGAACUCGCAGGACCUCUGCUUCCCUCUCAGCUAUCAAAGACCGAGCAAGCCUCAAUUCAGAUUGCAGUUGAUUCAUCUGCAACAGAUAUAAUCUCAGCAUCUAUUAAAGUCUAAUUCUCCAGAACAACUGUUGAGAUUCAAUCAUUUCCUGGGAAUAUACUGAUGGAGUGUAUCACUAGUAAUCACCAUCAAAAGAAUAUCAUAACCUGUUCAACAUCUGUGUAACUUGGUCGGGAAGAUAUAUGUCAGAAGCCCACUGGUUGACUUCAUGAAAGUGAGAGUGCAUGAAAAUUCUCUGAACAUUUGGACUCAUCCGUAUAAAUUUUACUUUACCACACAGAAAAACUUUUGUGUUUCUACUUCCUUCCCAAAGACUUUCUCAAGUCUCCUUUAUAUUAGUGCAACACUGUGCUCGUAUUGUGUCAAAUGAUUUUCGCUAGAAAAUUUGAUCACAUCCAACAGAUCCCCAGUGCUCGGCAAUCUUACAGAUAUACUCACUAAGCCACUAAUUAUAAAGCAUAAGCACUCAAUAUGCCUAAGCAUAACCUAGAGAGAGCUGUGAACAAGGAGUAUACGUGAAACCCAGAAAGAGCAGCCCGGAAUUUUAAGGCAUGUUUAAGAAUGACCAGUAUAAGACAUUGCAAAUGUUGAUGGUCAGAAAAGCAUCUCUUACAUUGACAAUGAACAACAUAAACUUAUAUGCAUUUCUAUUCUGUUAUUAUAAGCCACUGGGCAGUCCCAUGUAAUAUAGUAUUAGUUAAGAAUUACCUCUGCAGAAAGUGUCCGUAAUUCUUGAUCACGAGCUGCUAAAAGAUGUGCGAGAUCAACCUGAAAAAAGAGCAACCUGUAACCAACUUAUUCUGAUCAUUUGAUGCCUAAUUAUUCCACUAUUAUAAAACAAAAGCUGCAUCGAUUGAAGGCUCAAUUCAAAAUGAUUUAAUAAACAAGAGAUAGUUGUCAUCCAUAGACUUCAGAACCAAGGAACAAAGCCACUUGUUUAAACGAAUUUAAAAAAAAAAAUAUUUUGAGUUUAAUAUGAUAUAUAAAGUAGCUGGCACUUUCAUAAAAUAAAUCACCCUGGGGAUGGCCAUGGGCAAAAGCACAUCCAGCACUUGACUCACAUGGCAACAUAAUCAUGAAUCUAUGGCAUGGUAACCAUCAAUAAACUGGACAAAACAACAGUAUGCAUUGGAAUAUUUGUGUUAAUAAUAUUCUUUCUCUCUCUCUCCCACUCUCAAUCUCUAUACCAGCCCAAACACAUAUGAUCAUGUGUUAGGUUGGAUUGUGGAACCAUAAAAAGUGAAAAAGAAAAAAAAAUUCAUACAAAAUUUGUAAACACACUCAAAACAUUGAACAUGUACUAGACAAAUGAAGGUGCCUUUCUCCUAUACAUCCAUGAGUGUUUGGUACAUACGACAAGUCCUCAAGUAUUUGAAUGCCAAACUUUUUAAUAGGAACUCCACCAGCAAGUUUUCUUGCACAUAAAUUACCACAAAUCUCUUUUUAACCUCAGGAAACUAUAAUUUUUGUCGUUGUAGCUAGGUUGGAUAAUAGAUAGUUCCAAAUUUCUAUGACUCAUAACAGUUUCAUUUAUUACAAACAUAUAUAAUUCCAGGGUGGCCUUUGUAUCUUUGGCAGGCCAGAGGUAUGACCCAGCCUUGGAAAAAUGUGCCAAACCAGUCCCACAUAAUUUAACAAACAAGGCCUGCUUAUGUACUUAUCCUUAUCACAGUCAUGAAGAUUGAUGAUGCUUGCCCAUAUGUCUAAAUAUGGUAAAGCAGACAUUCAAAUUACUUCCUGCUCUGCACUGUUUUGCAAAUAAAACCAUAUUAAUAUAGUCUGAGUAAGUAUUACCUGAGGUGUACUUCCAUCAUCAGACUGUUCAUAUUUGCUCAGGCAUUCUUGCAACCUAAGAAUCUGCAGCAAACAUAUGUUGUUUGGAAUUUGAUUAUAACCAGAAAACAUCAUUAUGGUUUUUACCAAGAGAUGAACUACUUAUGCAAAUUAUACCAGCUCAUAACACAUUGGAAUUUGAUAAGAAAACAAACUGGCUUUAGUGAAGAUCCAAUAACAUUGGGGUUGUAAAAGCAGAAUCAUAAAUCUUAAUCACAGUAUACCUCCUCGCUUAGAAAAUGAAGGUUCUCACGUUGAUACUGCAACAAAGCCAUUUGCUCAUCAGAGAGUCGACCACCAUCAUGAUACCUGUUUGGACCAAAAAAAUUGUCAAUGGAUCAUUAUGUAUGCACUCCAUAAAACUUGACUCAUGAUGCAUAUAUUCAACUUCCACUAUAUGUAUAGUUUGGUCACCCAUAUGCUGCAUUUGAUGGAAAUCUGCUAUAUCAUCAAAAAAAUCUUACCAAGAGGAAAAAGAUAAUCCGGUGAAGCAUAUUUGUUAAUGCAUGAUAAUGUUGUUAGCAUGAAUCUCUUUCUCACGUCCCAUAACGCUACAAAAUUUAGUAUGUUGGCUUUUAAAGUUUUUGAUAGAAUACCUUAAACCUUCCAAAGAACUUGAUGGUUGAAGAGGAGAAUAAAGUGACUUCAUAACAUCAGGCUGAGAAUUCAAUGAAUUGUACUGAUGUACAUAACCUGCAAGCACCGGGAAGUAUACAGAAAACAUUAAUGUUCUGAGAAAUAUAACCCCACCUUUAGAGGCCACUGCAUAUACUAGAUUGUUAGUUAUCAAACACGCCAGAUAAUUUAAAAACUAGAUUCCCAAAACUGAUGAAUACCAAGGUUCUUGAAAGAAAAUUAAGGAACAUAUAGUCAACAGGUCAUGGAAGUUCGAAAAUUGGUGUUAGCACGUCUAUCCCAAGGAAACAAUAACAAAAUUUGCCACAUAUAAAGAAAUUAUACCGACUUAGAUUAGAUAUGUGCUCCUGUCAGAUUGGUAAAAGUACAAAUCCAAGUCAAAUGGAGUAACUAAAUACACAGUCCUAUAUUAUCUGGGAAAAAAAAAUGGGAAUCAUUAAUUAUACACACCCACGAUAUAUCGCAUUUGGCUUUGAUAUGUUUGCUCAAGAACAUCUCACAUUGGAAAUCCACCAACCAAGAUGGAGGUUACAAUUAAGAAGUGACAACAAGUAUAAACUUUGUGAUACCCAUUUUUUUUUUUUUUAGACGUUCCAGUCUUGGCUUUGCAAAUAAUUUAGAUGAGACUUUCUGAAAGGGAUCAAAAUCCUUUGAAAUUUGAAAAAUAACUAUAAAAUUUGCCUGCUGCUUUGGUCAAUAAUUUUUUUAGGUACAACGUAAUCAAUAAAUACUCCAAGGAGUGAUGGAGGUCAUAUGCAAUUCAACAAAUUUAGUAGGAAGGUCAUUUUUCUAGUAAUUUGUCUGGUAAAAUAUGAAAAUUAUAAGUAGCUUAGGCACCUAGAACAAAGCAUCAAACCUCAUAUAAAAUUAACAACUCAAAUCAUCAGCAUGUACUGCAGCAACAUAACUCUUUCAAACGCUCAAAAUAAUUAAAACUCACCGAUAUAGACACUCAUAAAGGAAGCAGCACAUAUUGCUUCAAUUAACAUAAUAAUCCUGCAAAUAAAAUGCGUACACUAAGAUCAAGUGGACCAUAAAUAGUUAGCAAAGCAACCAUGGUAUUCUAACAUCUACCCAGGAAAAGGCAAGUCUAAAGCAGCAUCUUCAAUUUCACUCCCACCCAGCACAAUUAAUAUACACAACAAAGACAAGAUGUUGGUACGUCUGUGGUAAUACUCUAUUUUGUAGAAUAAAUAUCUUUUAACAUUGUCUAAACCAAUUUGACCAAGUUGGAGAGAGGGUCUAAAAUUGUACAACAACCAUAAUCCAUCUUUAAUAGAAUUUGGAGGAAGCAGAAACAAAUAUAAACAUCAAAGUAUCCUUUAUGAUUUGAUAAAAAGGUUGUUCAAACAAAACCAUCAAAUGCAAACCAGCACAAAAUCAAGUGAAAAACAUGCAGCCUGCAGCUUCCCUAUAUCAGCAAAUUUUCCAUUCCUCUACUUUAUUAUGUCUUAAUAGUCUUUAUGCAUGAAUAUGUAACUCCAGAAAUUAGAUAUAAAUUAUCUGUACAUGUCAAUCUACUUCCGAUUAUAUGCACUAAGUUGUAUUAACUUGACAUUUAAAAAAUAAUAAUAAUAGUUAUAAGAUCACUGGUAGAUUCCAUAGCAUAUAGAGCCAACACAUAGUUGCCUGAUUACACUUUGCUUUUCCCCUUAUUCAUCACUGUCUGAAGACUUUCUUCUAGAGAAACACAUAAUCAUUGUUUACUGAUAUGAAAUAGCACAAGGCAACCUAUUUAUCAGCUUAUGACUCGAAUUUCAUUCACGGAAGCACUUGUGAGAGCACCUUAGGAGAGUAGAGAUUGAAAGAAUACUGAUGUGGGGUCUCCAAACGAUGACAAGUAGCAUUGCCGCAGUUCCUAACAUGAAAGCAAACUUUUCAAUAUAACAACAAUUCUAAUGUUUUAAGAUUUUCAAAAAUAAACAACUGACAUUUAAAUACGUUCCCCCUCUGCCACAUGGUGAAUAAAAUCCCUUCCUGCUGUUGCAUGGUUGAAUAUGUGCAAGAUAAACAGAUUCCGAUGGAGAUGAAAUAAGAAUAGAUUAAUAUGUACAUACCAUAGGCAGUAAUGGCAAAUGGUAGGCGAACAAUAUGCUUCAACUUCUGGCUGAAGCUAUAAUAACCCUGCCAAAAUAUCCAUUUCAAAAGUUCCAAAUGAAAAACUGCAUGAUUUGACAAUUCAACGACAUUAAUAAAAAUAACAACAUCACUGGACCCUUUUAAUCAGAUUUCAGUGGCAAGUUCAUAAAUCCCUUUCCAAAGGACACUAUCAUCAUAAAUAUAAUCUAUGCCCUCAGACCAAAAGGAAUUGAAUUUCAAGAAGAGCAAAAGUUGUUCUUUUAACAAAUAGAGGUCUACAUAUCCUAGAGAAACCAUUUUGUGUGAGACUCUGAAAGAACUCAAUGACAUAAUAAACUUCUCCCUCAAGUAUUUAUGUCCGUUGCCUUUCAACAGUUUCAAAGAAUGAGAGACAGAUAAAGAUAGAGAUAUAUUCCAAAUUUUACCUGCAAGCGUAUUUUCUGGACUUGAUACACAAAAUACUGUUGAAAUAUGCCUGAAAUAAUGAAAUUUGAAUUUGACCAAAAUCAAGUCACUAAAAUAUCAGCAUGUUCCAUACCAAGCAAAGAUAAAAGGAAUAAAAGCCUAGAAACGUAAGUUUCUUAUGUGAAACUAAGCACAUAGUACAAUUGAUCAACCAAAAAAAAAUGGAAGAAUAUGCUAUGCCUUAGGCAUGUUGCACAUAUUUGCCGAGCAACAGCAAUGGUUUGAAUAUGUCAAAAAUCAAUAUAAAAUCCUAUUGCAGCGACGUUAAAGCUGAUAACAGAACAACAGAUCAUUGACUUUUAUAGUCUUUUUUCAAGUUCAUAAUAUACUUCCCACAUGUAAACAUUUUACUCAGAACACUCAUACAAUCUGGUUCCAUAUUUGGACUACUGAACUUACAGAUCAUGAACAAUCGCUCCUAGCAUCACAAAAGGAACAUUCUCCCUCCCUCUCCUCCUUUCUCUAAACACAAUUGCAAAUCAACAAGCACACACAAGGAGUCCCUAGUGUUGGAAAAUUGUACCUCUAUUUUGUAAGCAAAAACACAUCUAAAAUCAUUAUUAGAAGAAUAUUUCAACAUGCAGAUCCAAUUACAGAAAGUGAUAGAAGUAAACCUGUGAGUGCCAAAAGAAUAACAUCGCAACUGCAAAGCAAUGGCGGGAUCAAAUAGUGAAUAGGAUGAAAUAUCCAUGUAGUUCCUGCAGCCAAAAUGGCAUAACCUGCCUAAAAUCAAAUCAAAGACCGAUCAGAGCUUGACUUAAUAAUAAUAGUUUUGAGCAAACGAAUUUUAAAUCAACAUGAAAUUCGACUACUGACCAGUACGAAACAGUAAACAACACUACCAAAAAUACUAUGAGAUUUUCGGUGACCUAGUAAUGGAGCUUCAUGCAGUAUAUCGAGGAACCUACGGAGUGACAAAUUAUGAAACGAAAUAAUUUCAUUAGGAAUUAACUAAUUUAGAAGAAUUAUUCAACAAAAUAAAACAGUGAUCAAAAUCAGGUGAAAAACGUGUUAGUGAAUUGCAUAAUUUGAAAACAUACAUAGCGUUUUCUUCAGGAGAUGCAGAGGUCGAAGAAGAAGCAUGUCUCUCCGUCGACAUCUUCCCCUUCCUGCAGCUUAUAAUUCUCGGGACAAAUUUUAAAUUCAGGAUUUGGCAGUGAGAUUGAAAACCGUUUAUUUGCUGAGCUGCCAGAGCACCUCGUUUAACAGUUGACACUUGUAACUAAAAACAUUUGAUCAUUUUUUUUAUUAAUUUAUAAAACCGGCUUACUGGACCGAAAAUUAGUUUGGCCCAACUUUAGAAUUGAGCCGGGCCUGACCCGUGUUUGUGGGCAAUUCGUGGGGCGGCUCAAGACACAAUCGUGAAACCCAGCCCGUGUAAUAACCGGUUCAUGCCCGAAGUCACCAAUCCGAACCUCAAUCACUCGCCAUGCUACUAAAAACCCUAACGCAACUUUACCGCCUUCACAGCGUCCCCAGUAUACGAAGUUUAAUCCACUUCUGUUAAAUGGUCUAAAAUAUAACUGGGUUUUUUACUUUUUUUUCUUUGUGUUUUGAUGAAUAAAUUUUAAAUUUACCUGGAUUUGGGUUUCGCUUUGCUAUGGUUUAUUUACGCAGUGUCGCAUCAUCUCCAUGAAGAAUAAAGAGCUUAACGAUAUACCCAUUUCGAAAUCUAAAGAAUCCAACGGUUAUCCUCAAAGAAGAUCUAAUUCCAUAGACUUUUGUGGGCAUAAGUCAGAGGCUGCUGCAAAUGGCGUGGGGUUGCCGAUGACCCUCUUAUUUUUCACAGUCCGUCCCUCGAGGGUUCGAGCCUCCACGAUCGCUGCUAUUGCCCAUUUUCACGGCCUCGCCAACGGAGGAUCUCGCCCCUUUGAUGAAAAGGAGGUAAAUUAUAGGUGUAGCAACGAGUUCUGGUUUGUUAAAGUUGUGUGUACUUUAUUACUUCGUUCCAGCUAUUUGUCGGAUACAUGUGCUCGUUAUUUGUGUGAGAAGUUGAGUCCUUUGAAUUCAUUGGAGGUAAUUAAACGGUUAGAUAACCCAAAACUGGGACUGAAGUUCUUAGAGUUCAGUAGAGUGAAUCUGAGUCUUAAUCACUCUUUCAAGACUUACAAUUUGGUUAUGAGGUCUUUGUGUGAAAUGGGUCUACAUGAUUCGGUGCAAGUGGUAUUUGAUUACAUGAGGAGUGAUGGUCAUUUGCCCAAUAGUCCGAUGAUAGAGUUUUUUGUUUCUUCAUGUAUAAGAGCUGGAAAGUGUGAUGCUGCCAAGGGACUGCUUUCUCAGUUUCGGCCUGGAGAAGUUACCAUGAGUACAUUUAUGUACAAUAGCCUGUUGAAUGCAUUGGUUAAACAAAAUAAUGCAGACGAGGCUGUAUACAUGUUUAAAGAGUAUUUUAGAUUGUAUUCUCAGCCAGAUACUUGGACUUUCAAUAUUCUGAUUCGAGGUUUAUGCAGGAUUGGAGAAGUUAAAAAGGCUUUUGAGUUUUUCUAUGAUAUGGGGAGUUUUGGCUGUUCUCCGGAUAUUGUUACGUAUAACACACUUAUAAGUGGGUUGUGCAGAGUUAAUGAGGUAGCUAGAGGCCAUGAGUUAUUGAAGGAAGUUAAGUUUAAAAGUGAAUUUUUACCAGAUGUUGUGACCUAUACAUCAGUUAUAUCCGGCUAUUGCAAGCUAGGUAAGAUGGACAAGGCUACGAGCAUAUAUAAUGAGAUGAAUAGUUGUGGCAUUAAACCCAGUGCAGUAACUUUCAAUGUUCUUAUUGAUGGCUUUGGUAAGGUUGGGAACAUGGUUUCGGCUGAGUACAUGCGUGAAAGGAUGCUUUCUUUAGGUUACCUUCCUGAUGUUGUUACUUUCAGUUCCUUAAUUGAUGGAUAUUGCCGAAAUGGACAGCUGAAUCAAGGUUUAAAGCUUUGUGAUGAAAUGAAAGGGAAAAACCUGUCCCCGAAUGUUUAUACUUUUGCGAUUCUUAUUAAUGCUUUGUGCAAGGAGAAUAGACUAAACGAUGCACGCCGAUUUUUGAAGCAAUUGAAGUGGAAUGAUUUAGUUCCAAAACCAUUUAUGUACAACCCUGUGAUUGAUGGGUUUUGCAAGGCUGGUAAUGUGGAUGAGGCAAAUGUCAUUGUUGCAGAGAUGGAGGAGAAGAGAUGCAAACCUGAUAAAGUGACAUUUACCAUUCUAAUUAUUGGGCAUUGUAUGAAGGGAAGAAUGGUUGAGGCUAUUAGCAUUUUCAAUAAGAUGUUGAGAAUUGGCUGUGCGCCAGAUGACAUUACUGUGAAUUCGUUGAUAUCUUGCCUUUUGAAGGGAGGGAUGCCUAAUGAAGCCUUUCGCAUAAUGCAAAGGGCAUCAGAGGACCAGAACUUGCAGCUUCCAUCCUGGAAGAAAGCAGUUCCUUUGAGAACAAAUACAGAUAUUCCGGUGGCAGCUUAAAAGAAAGCAGUUGAACAACUUGCUUUACUCUGUCAACCCAUUCAUGAAGCAAGAUCUUACCAUCGUCAUGACUCAAGUACAAAUGCUGCUCAUCAGCUUCCACUGCAAAUAAGUUAGCAGUAAGUAUUUUACACACAUUCUUCAUUAGUUGUUGGUUGUGUCAUGUUUUUCUACUAUUAUCAAUAAAUUUAGUGAAAGAGACUUGUUGUUUGGAUACCCAUGAAGAGCUAUCUUUGAGUAGUUACCUAGACUCAAAUUAUGUCCAAAAAGCCUAUAAACUUUAUUUUCAUGUUAGCUGGGGGAGCAUUUUGUUGUGCCUGGAACUUAUAGCAACAGUGUUUAAUAUGGAAUUACCAUUAUGCUUUUAGUUUUGUGUCACUGAAGGCUCCUUCCAGGUUUCAAUAGCAUAAUUGGUAUGUAAUGGCACAAUUUUGUAGGGAAGAAAGACUGAAGUGAGUAGUUCUUCUCUGAUGUAUUUCAGUGUUCAUUUAUUGUAGUACUUUUUCCUCAUUCAGCUAAAUUGAGAGGGGUUUGGGAUAAUGUAAAGGCUGGUUUAGCUUUGUAUAGGGUUGUCAGGCAUUCAUUGGAUUGUUUUUAUAUGGUUUUUGGUUUUCCCAUUGACUUUUUGAUGAUAUUCUGGACAUCAUGUCCUAAGUACUGGUGCAACAUUUUUUUCUUCUUCUUUAAAUGCAGUCUAAAGCUUUAAAGAUUUUUUUUUUUUUAAUUUUUCUUUAAAAGAUAGGAGGAUGGGCAACCAAAUUGAUUUUUUAGCCCUUACUUUCCUCAGGAUUCAAAUGCAAGUAUCCUGCCAAAGAGAUCUGCUUGAAAAGCACUCGAUCAAGUCUCCACAGACAAAGCUUUAAAAGAAACUGUUGAUUGUAAAAAUGUUUUUUUUUUUUUUUUUUGAAGGGGGAAAAGGGAUGCUGCUUUAUGCAAGCGAUACAUGAUUGUGAUCUUUUGGGUUGUUUUGUAUGGAACUGACUCAGAGGAUCUUUAACAUAUUUGUGGCUGGAUGUGGUAUAUUCGGGACAGAAUUUGAUUUUGGUCAUCUUUGUUUAAAUUUCAAAAAUAUUUUUUUCUUCAUUUACACUAGAUUUUGGAUGCUGGUAUUUUAUGAGUUGUAAGUUUUAUAUUAUGUUGCUAGUUGGUUUUAUUUGGUUGUUGUGAUUGUUUUUGAAAUCUGUUUGAUAAUUUUAUUUGAACUCCCAUUGACAAAGAAUUGAUGAGUUGCACUUUGUUUGACCUGAACGUUGCAUUUGCUUAAUGCUUUUCAUUUCUGUGGACUUGCAGGCUGGCAGCUAAUGUAUAUUUACCAAGUACCUACUGAAUGAUGAAUGGUAUCAAGUCAUUCCCAUUCUCAGCAGGUUAGGAUAUCAUCAGAGAUCAAUGGGUUUUGUUUAAUCCGAUCUGAACUUGUUACAGGGACUUUACAAGUAAACCAGAGAUGGUUGCGGAGAAAGUAGUUAUUGUUCAAGUGAGAGAAGAUAUUUUAAGCACUAAAAGGGCACCAUCUGGAUUAGUAAAUUUUCUAAUUUCAGAUUAUAUUUGCCGGAAAAAUUAGCAAUAAAAAUUUUUUGCCGUCUCCAUCCAGUUAGUUUUUAUUUCUUCAUUUGUGGUCUCCCAGAUUCUGCACAUAGUUUUACCCUACCAUUCAUGGAAAGAUUUUUGUAUAGAACACAGAGCUCCAGCACAGCAAAAUGAAUAUUGCAGAUUGCCAGGAAAAGAGGAAGUAAUGGGCAAAAGCUGGAAUGAAUCCAUGUUUAACAGGUACGGACAUAGAUAUGGUUGGGUUUUUUCUAUUGUUUUUGCCCCCUUCCCCUUUUUGGUAUUAAUUCAUUGUAAUCUGUCAAAAUUGUAAUUAUCUUAAAUGUGUUCCGUUUGGCUCUGGACCUCUGGUUCCCAAUAAUUUCCCGUUGUUUGGAUUUGGUUUUCCUGUAUAGUACAUUCUUCUGCAAACAAAGUUGACCCGUAAGAAAUUGACUGGGAGUCUACAAAUUAAGUUGUUAAAUGCAAAAUUUCACUGACCACAGUUUUCUUUGUGCAUGGAAAUGCAAAUAUUCAAGUGCAUAUUUGGUAUGGAUUUUGUUUAAAUAUCUUUGUUGCUGGGUUGUAUCUGAAAUUAAGCUGAUGGAAGAUUGAAAAAGCUACUUUUGGAGUAGCGGUCAAGCUUUUUUAAGAGGUUAAGCUGCUAAGUGCCCUUAUUUUUCAGCAACAAAUUAUGAUAAUGAAAAGGCCUGUAGAGAGCAUGAAUUGAAUGGCAUCUAGUAGGCAGAUGUCACAAUGAACACACGAUCAUUCUCACAGCAAGUUCUCAGUUCCUUUUUAGGGCAGAAGACAACAAAAUUUUUUAAGCAAUGCAUUGAUAUUUGUUUAAGCUUCCAUAUAACAACUACCUUGCAUUGACAAAAUAUAUAUAACAUCGGUGGUGUCCUAGUCACAAUGACUGUUUACAUGGACAUAGAUCUCAGAAUUUAUUUUGAACAUCAAGCAGCCAUGCAUUGCUAUUGUAGAUUAUAUGGACAUUAAUCUCCGAAUUUAUUUUGUACAUAAAGCCAACCAUUCUGCUAUCAUGCUUGAGUGAAAUAAUAUAAGUUUUAUGAGCAAAUGACUUGCUGAUAGCCAGAUCCAACUAUUUCUUCAGGAGCAGACUAAGCCACAACUGGGUAUGAUGCACAAGUUGCAAUACCUACAAUCAAAUCAGUAAAAUCAGCAAACACAAAUAUAUAUCACCUAUUUAAAUGUUUCAAAUUUCAUGCGUAGAUCUGUUACUACUCUGUUAACUUAUCAAGACUUAUCGGAUGUAUACUACAUUAUUCUGUUUCUUUUAUUGACAUCAUAUCUUAGGUCAUACUGAAAAUUGAUGAUGACGGAAAUUGACGAUGACUGAUAAUUUAAGUUGUGAGCAAUGAUCUGGUAAUGACAAUCUAGAUGUAACAGUAACUUACCACACAUGUUCUUCCCCAUCUCCAUCUUAAAGUAGCCAUGAUCGCCCCAGUUCUCUCCCCAAGAGUUCUUAAUCAGCCAAUAUGGAACACCAUCUUCAACUCCGUACCCAACAGCAACGACAGCAUGGUUCACAUCCUGCCAUAAAAUCCCGAAAGUUAGAAAUGCAAUAAAUGCAUCUGAUGAGUGGUUAAUGCUUGGGUGAUAAUUCCAAGUGAAGGAUCAUUUACACAACGUCUACAUUAAGCAUUCCUUGCGUGAGUAACAUGUUGACCAACUGAGAAGUUCAGAAAAGAAAAUGAGAAAUGUUGUUUGGAGAGUUUGGACCAUAAUGUUAGGCAUUUAUUUGUUUUGCAAAACUUCAAAACUUGAAUGCCCUAUUAAAUUUUGAUUUUGAACAUAAAUCAAAACAUUUUUUAACAGAUUUGCAUUCAAUGCCUAUCAAAAUAAUGUAUCGUUUUCCAAGUCAAUAAGACUCACCAUGGGAGUAUUUCCACAUUUAGUGCUGCUGUAAACUCCACUCUUGUAAAAUCGGAAUCCAUCUACUACUUCAAAUGCCACACUCACAGGUCGAACAAGACCAACUGCAUGCUGUAAUUCAUCUUCAGCACCCUGCAUUGUCUUACAAGUCAUGAAACUUGAAACAUAUACAUAUCCAGAGUUUCUAGAUUAUGAUUGAUUUAUUUAUGGUUGAUUUUCAUUUGUUUCGCAUGUAGUGAGCCCAGUACUGCAGACUCUACUCUCAUUUAAAAUGAAAAUUCAGCAUAAAACUCACCAAGGUAAUGUUGACUGAGUCCAGGACUUGGACGCCAACAUUUUCAGAUGAGAAUUUGCAGACACCAUCUUUUCCGGUGUAGGGAUAUGCUUCCUCAGUAUCAAGGCCACCAUUGUACUUGAUGUAUUCAAAGGCUUGGGAUGGCAACCCACCAUUGCAUCCCUGGUUGUUGAAAGCUUGGGCACAGUCUACAAGCUGCUGUUCUGACAAAGAGAUACCCUUUCCAAAGGCCUGGUGGUAAGCAGCCUCAAGAGAUCCAGUCGUGCUGCAAAAGGUAAUUAUUUAGCACUAAAACUGAAAACUCAGUUUAGAAAUUCUGAUUUCAUUCCAAAUCAAGCUGACCUGAAAGUCCAGCAAGAUCCACAGUGACCUUGGUCUUUAACUGGGCUUACUAUGCCAGAUUCCCUCCAGUCUUUCUACACAUAUAGCAGCAGAAAAAUCAGUCUUUUCCUCUCUAUAUAAUACAAAAUACAAGCUUAUAGAAACUGAUGGUCAUCUUGGUUGUUCAAUCGAGAAUAGUUUUUCGUAGAAUUACCGUUUCUGGAAGCACAUCAGCAGUAAGCUUGUGAUUUCCUUUUGUAGUGGCAGAGCAGUUUUGUGCAGCUCCCAACCUGUGCCUUUGGAACUCUUCCCAGCUCCAAUCAGCAAACUCUGCGUGUUAUGUUAAUUACAUUUAAACGCCAUCAACAACAAUUGUAUAGAGUUAAUUAACAAUCAAUAACACUGGUGUAACUUUAGUAAAUACGAUCUUAAAAUUUUGUUACAAAUUCUCGUUAUUUUGUACAAUCCAAUAGUAGAAAUAAGACAGUUUUAAUACCUCUUUCAUUUCCACUAUAAAUAUUUACUACUAGAUUGCACGAGAUACACAAAUGAAUGCCAAAAAAUAUAAGUUUGAAGCUUGAUUAUCCAAUUAUAACCUAUAACCAUCCGUGAUUAGGGAUGGCAAUUUUCGGGCUUGGGCCGGGCUUUUCAAAGUCCAGGCCCAAGCCCACAUCAUUCAAACGAACUCGGGCUGGGCCUAGACGGGUAUGAGCCGGGCUUGUGCUUUUUAAAUUAAUUAUAAAAUAUUUUUUAAAUUAAGAAAAAAAUUUAAAUUAAAGAUAAUCAUCUAAUAUAUAAAUAGAAUAAAAGUCCAAUACAUAAAAUAUUAGUAAUACAACCUAAUAAAAUAACAAAUACUAAUAUAAAAAAUUAAACUAAUUUAAUAUUUUGAAUUUUUUCUUUUUAUUUAAAUUAAAUUUAUUUUUUAUUCAUAAAUUUAAAAAGCCCGGGCCAAGUCCGGGCUUUUUUACUAAGCCUUUGUCCAGACCCAAUAUAUGUGGGCUUUGUAAUUUUGAGCCUAUAUCUGGGCCCAUCCUUACAGGCCGGGCCUUGGCCAGCCCGGGCUUUUUUGCCACCCCUGUCCGUGAUUAAUCUACUGAGGGAACUAUAGAAUCACUACGUAAGUUAAAGCAUCAUCAAUCUAUGAUUGGUUCCCAAGAAAUGAAAGACCACAAAAUACUAGUUACUAUGAUGAGAAAUAAUAUAUUUGUACAAAAUCACUAUACAAAUCAAAUAGAAUAAUUAAGAACACGCCUAUAUGAAAAAAAAAAAAACAAUAUAAUUAAGGUAAACAGUCUAAUUAAGUUAAAAAAAUUUAUCUCUCAUCGUAUAAUACUGGAAUUUGAUGAGGAUUAGAGUUUAUAUUGUUUUAUCCUAAUUAAAUUGGGUUGUGUUUUUGGAUUUGGGUCCUCACACAUUCAAUUUAUAUCAUCAAGUUGAGUUUUGGUAAAAAUAUGGGCAUAAAACUAUAUAACGAUAAUAAUAAUAAAAUCGUAAAAAAUCAUUUCUCAUCCGUAGAUUGUUAUAGGAAAGCACGUGAAUAACGUGAACUACAGACCAAUCAGGAAUCUAGGCAAUCGGAUGGCUUGACUGGCUCCUGAGGUACAGACCAAUCAAAAUGAAAAACUUACUGUUCAACCCGAGCCUGUAAGAUAGGCCUUUACGAUUCGUAGAUCUGAUUAAAUCCAAGUUCUUGGAGAAAGUCGCGAACCGGAGCUUCAUCUCCUCAACGGACUCGUAAAUCUUUCCAUACCUGCGAGCAAAACGGGCAAAGGAGAGAGCAUGGCGGGCUUGGCCGAUCACCUGGAGGACGGAGGUCUCGAAGUCACGGAGACCGUCCGAUGAUACCAAUCUGAUCGGAUUGGAGUCGUCGAAGCUUGAUGCUGAUGCUGCGGCAGCGCAGCAAAGCAACAAGAUGAUGGACGAGACCAAAUGUUCAGGGCGAGCCAUGCCUAAUGAUUGUGUCUGUUUUGUUUGGAGAGAGUGCACCGCACUCAAGGGCUUCGGAUUAAAUGAAUGCAGUCUAUGAACACUAUUAUUAUUGUUAUUAUUAUUAUGAGAUGCCUCGUCGGGUGUAAGAUAAGUCAAGACUCAAGAUUCCGUAUCAUUUUCAGUUUGAGGGAUGGAUUGGAAAUUUGUAGAUUAUUAUGGGCGUCUAAGCUGGCUUUGUCGUAUUGUAGACGAUAGGAACUAACUCUGACGCGCGCCAUGACGUUCUCGUGAAAUUCCUCCACGUCGUCGUAACGGUUUUUUUCUCUGCCGUUAUAGCGUUCAUUUCUGUUAAUAUAGGAAUGAUUUGUAAUCGUACAAAAUAUUUUACUUACAUUUUUAUCACAAAAUAGGCUCAAUUCGCUUUAAAUGAGCUCGUAUAUUUGGGUUCGGUUGCAAUCAGUUAUAAAAAUAUUUCUAAAGUAGAUAUUUACUAUAAUAUCCUUCAGUCAUUAAGUUUAUUUGAUGCUAGGAGUAUUAGUCGCUAAUUUUGAAAUAUGAAAAAGAUAUUAUGACUAAAAAGUGUGAGACUUUAACAUUCAUUACAAUUUUUUUUUCCCUUUCCUUCCUUUUUUUCCAUUACAUGGUCACUCAAGAUAAUAUAAUUUAGUUGGUAGUAGUUGGUAUGUAGCUUUUGUAAAUUAUUUUGGUCUCCAAAUAUAAUAUACUGUUUUAAUUUGUACAAAUUUGAUUUUGAUCAUUACUUAAUUAGUCUUAAUAUUUGCCUAACUACCAUUUCACCAAACCUACAUUAUUUUUCUGUACUAAACAUUAUGUAUUAUUAUUAUAUCCUAACUACAAUAUCUAGGGUGUAUUUGAUGCAUCACGUUGUAUCACAUUGUAUUACAUUAACUAUACCAUAUUACAUUAUAUUAAACUAUAAUAUUGUACUAUAUUUAGGCUCCGUUUGGUACAGCUUAUUAAAUAGAGCUUAUAGCACUAGAGCUUAUACCAAUAGAGCUUUUGGACAAAAAGUCAUUGGGUGUUUGGUUGUCAAUAAAAAAAGUACUUUUGAACCAUUAAAUUGUGUGAUAUUUUUUAUAUUAGAUAUUUUUAGAAAAACUCUAUAACCUCUACUCCCAAAAGCUCAAAUUUUGGGCUUUUGCUAGUAGAGGUAAAUUAGCUUAUUUAAGCUAAAAAAACUCUACUAAAAAAAUAACCAAACACCAUAAAAAAUUUUAAAAAGUGCUUAUACGAUUAAAUAAGCACUUAUGGCUCUUAAAUAAGCCAUACCAAACAGACACUUAGUAUUUGUAUAAAUCAUAUGAGUUAUGUAAUGUUUUCAUUCAGGUAAUCUUUAGGGCCUAUAUGGUCCUGAUUGUAAAAUGGUGUUUUUGGUUUUUCAAAAACUAAAAAAUGAAAAACAUGCUUGGUGGCACCCUUUUUGGACGAUGUUUGGAUUCUUUUGGGAAUGAAUCAUUCUCAUCUCCUAUCUUUCCAUCCAUAAAAGUAGAAAAUAAUAAAGAGUAAUGUUACACAUCUCAAAUUUUUUAUCCCAAAAAGUUAUCCCAAAUGAUGUGUCAUUUAUCAAUUGGUUGGUGAGAUAAUAUAAUUAAUUCACUUGCAACUUAUAAAGAAUUAUCAACCACUCAAUUAAUGACACAUCAUUUGAGAUAAUUUUUUAGGAUAAAAAAUUUGAGAUGUGUACAAUAAAAGCCCAUACUGCAUAAAAAGUCAUCAAAAUUGUUGCGAGUCUCUAUGUCUCUUUAUUGUUGUAGGCCAACUCAAAUAAUUUUUUUAUUAUAUUAUUUAAUUUAGCUACUUUUUUCUUCUUAAAUUAUUCCUAUAGUGCAAUAUAUAUAUUUUUUACUUUAAAGGCAAAAUUUAAAGGUAUUUUUUUCCAACAUCUUUCCGCCUUGAAUGCCACUUUCUUGAAUUUUUACUUUUAUAUAAUUUAAAAAAUUACAAAAAAUAACAAAUAGAUGCAUUAGGCUAUUAUGUUAAGAGAGAAAAAAAAUAUAAUAAUAAUCAUAUAUUAUUAUUUUAAUAGGCUCCACUAAAACUCUUUUAUUGUACAAUACAACUUUUUUUUCCCCAACUCUUUUCAUUGUCACUAUUUUUCGAAGACAAACAUUUAAAUAUAUUUUCACUUUUUCAACUAUAGAGACUAUUAUCAAAAAAUAAACUAUCAAAUGUAUUUUUAUAUUCACUAAAAAAUAAUUAUUUGUUUAUUAUAAAAUAAACAAAAAACACUAAUUUAAAAAAUAAUAUCAAAGUAUCAAACGCACCAUUAAUUUAUGACUGCUCCGAAAGAUAACACCAAGUUGUCUUAAGAAACUAAAAAAUAAAUAUGGCAUAACAUUACAGCUUUAAAAAAAAUAUAAAAAAAAAACUGAAAAAAUAAAAUAAAUAACGCCGUUAAUAAGGCGCCAGGGGCCACUCCAUCUCCGUGUCCCGUAACUCGGCUAACGUCAAUUAUAAAUUUAUAAUGCCUUAUGGGGGAUGGCUGGAUCGACCUUUUUGUGCAUUAUUUUUUACAGGAAGACAAAACGCCGCCCCUGAGAAAAUCAAAGGCCGUAGAGUAGAUAUUUUAAUUGCAAUUUGUACAGAUUAAAACGUGUCUUUUGUUGAUUAGAGCACUGAUCACUGUUCCACAAUUGACUGAAAGAUCGACAGAUUCUGAUAUUGCGAUUUAUCAAGAUUCCAUGUUCGUGGCAUCAAUCCUAAUCACUCGGAACCAGGAAGCUUGAAGGGGGAAUCAUCGUACACCGCACAUAAGAUUUGUCUCAAAAAAAAAAAAAUUUGCCUAUAUCCAAUCCACUCUCACUCGUGUGAAGAGUCUGUGGCACCUCAUAGCCAUACUGUUGUUACUAGCUCUGUUUAAUAUAAAAGAGUUUAUUUAAGUAUAAUUUUUAUUAAUAAUUUUUUAUGAAAAAAUUUAUCGAUUGAUUGUAAGUAAAAUUUUUAUUAAAAAUUUUAAAAUUAUUUUGAUGGAUGAAUUUUUCAAAGUUAUAUUUAAAAUUAAUGAAAUAAAAUUGUCAAAUAUGUAACGGAUAUUUUAAUAUUUUAAUAUUUUAAAAAAGAAUUUUAAUAUUUACCUCCAAAAAUUAAAAUUUGAGUACGAAUAAAUAACUUAUUUAAUUUUUAAAAACUCUAUUAAAAAAUAAUUAAACAACAACAAUAAAAAAGAUAAAAAUUAUAAAAUUAAAUAAAUACUCAUAGUCAUUUAAUAGCCUAUACUAAUCAAACACUUAUACGGCAUGUUGUAAAUUUUUUUCUAGAAUUAUCAAAUAACAAUAACAAUUACAUAUACAUAAUCUUGUGAUAUUAUCAUUGAAUAAUAACUCAUCCUUGGACGUUUCUUAAACUUUCUUCUUCUGUUUCCUUCCCCCCCCCCCCCCCCCCCUCCUCUCAGGAUGUCUUAGAUGAGCAAAGGUUUCAAUCUUAAAUCAUUUUUAAGUCAUUAUAGGUCUUACUAGCCAAUGGUAACUCGCAUCUGAAUAUAUAUUGAAGGACGUAGAUUCAAGCUCCUUAACUCAUGAGAGGUUGUUUUUCAUAAAUAAAUUUCUAAUUAUUUUUGUCUAUUGAUCGUAACAAUUAAAAAAAUAAUAAUCCAGAAUUAUCAUCUGAUCGGUGUAUCAUUUAAAUAAUUAAAGACAUGAAUUGUAUGACAAGAUAGCCUCAAUUUGAAGCCCAAAUUAAUGGUCUCGUAAAACGGCAAAUAUUGCCAAAGCCCAAGAUGAUAAGCAUUGGAUACCAAGAGCCCAACCUCUUCGGCCAGCAAUUUCUGCUCAAUUCCAUCCAAGGGAUUUUGUCUCUGUGUUUUAAUUUUCUGAAGCCGCCGAAGCGAAAAUAAAUGAACCUCUUCCUUUCCAUGCAAAAAAAUGAUAUAAUUAUUUAGUUUCAAAUCUUUUGGACGACACUUCUAACAAUGGAAAUUAAAUUGAAAUUGAAAUAAAACAUAAUUAAUGCAACAUGGUGUUAUUGCUAUGUCAAUUUGUGCUUCAUGAAGUGCUCCUAGUGCAGUGUUUUAUUCUUAAAAAAAAUAAAUAAAGAUAUAAGCCAUUUGUAUAAUCUAUUUAAAAAAAAAUUAUUAAAAUUACUAAAAUUAUUCAUCAAUUCCAAUAUAAUUCAUCUAUUAACAAUUAAUUAUCUCAAUUAUUUUAAAAAGUUUAAUUACUAAAACAAAACUUUUACUAUCGCAUAAAUAAUAGAGCAUCUUAUUAGAUCCGAUUGAUAUUAGAUCUAUUUUAAUAUCUGUAUCUAGAAGUGCCUUUACGCGAUAGUAGACAGUGCCGUAUUGCCUUUACUUCCAUAAACAAAGGGGCAAACCCAUGUAAGUUAUAUAUAAUGAGUAAUGACUGCGUCCAAGUAUUAAGAGUAAAAAAAAAAAGGAAAUUGAAAAUCGUAUCGAUGAGAGUCGUCACUCGUCACGCUUCAUAGGCGACGGUGACAUGGCGCUGACGCGCUUAACGGAAGUCCAAGUCUAAACAAAUUACGUUAUAAAACAAAAGCGUAUUUAGUCAGACAAGCAUUAACAUUAAAAAGAAAAAUAUGCAAUGAUAAGAUUGACUUUGACCCGGAGUAAUACAAGAUUUACGGCGCGGAUCACCUGUACAAACACGCUUCCGUAGACUGCUUCCGUGCUUCUCAUUGCAUACUAGUUUUUCUUUUCAAACGAAAUUUACACGUGCGAUAUGUUUUGGCCUACUCUUUACACGCGUCUAUAUAACCCAACUUGCAUGAAGAUUAGAUUGGGAUUCGGGGAUUAGGUUUAGUGAGCACUAACUAUAGCAGCAGAGUCUUUGGGUAGCUCAACUGACACCUUUUACCAUUACACCACGUGUUCUAAAAUAAAAUUAUUUUUAUUAAAAUUAACUAGUUCGAGUUGUAAAUAUAUGACUUAUAUUAUUAAUUCAUGGGAUUUACUUAAUUAUUGUUUUGUUGUCUACGUUAUAAUUUAAACUGUCGGGUUAGUUCAUCUUAUAGUUAUUCUGAUCGUAAGCUUCAAUAAGUUUUAAUUUAAACAUCAUUAAGCUUAAUUCAAUAAACAUGAUUAAUCCGUUAGCAUGUGAUAAGUGAGGGUGGAUGAAGGAAAUAUAUAUGUCAACAUAUUCUGAGUUUUCGCAUGCAAGAUGAGACUUUUCUGAUUUUCUUAUUCAAUAAUACUCAAUGUUUUAGUUUGUACAAUUGAUAUUGUUAGAAGCAAUUAAUUAUAGAAAAAGCCUGUCAAAUUAGAAGAAAUUUUCCUAAGUCAAUAUGACAUAUAAAAUUUUCAAUUUUUUUUUUAUAUCUCAUAUUUAUGUACAGUUGUUUGGUAAUUUUCCAUAGAAAAGGUGAGAGUAGUUGUAGUUUAUUUGAUUUCCUCAUCCUAAUUUCUUGACAUCGAGAAACCCAUCCUCUACCCCCCAACUCCAAAACAACAACAAUAAUAACAACAAUAAUAACAAUAAUAAUAAUAAUAAUUAUUAUUUUUUUGAUCAGUUUAAAUUAUAUUUUUAAUUAACCAUUUAACUUACCCUUAAUAUCUUGCUCGAAUGUUAAUCUUUUUAUGUUGAGUCAGAUAAUCCUCACUUUAAUACAAUAUCAUAUUUUUAUUAGUUCUGUAUUUGUGAUCGUAACAUGUUAAUAAUUUGACAUUUAAUAUUUAUUUUCAAACGUUCUUCUUUGACUUUCUUAAAUAAACUUUUAUGUAAUUCACUUAGUUUAUUUAUUAUGAGGGUUUCGUUACAAGGUUUGGAUUAGAAUCAAUAUUAAUUAUAGUUGUGAUAACAUAUUUCCGAUUUGAUAUGCAAUAUUAUUGGUCCAACAUUUUUAUUAUUACGGAUCAUUACGUUACUAGUGUGAUAUCCUAUGUUAUCAAUUUAUAUUUUAUCUUGAAAUGGGCUUUAGGUUUUGUUUAAAAGACCUUUAUGCCCACCAAGAGCAAGGAAUAUCAUAAGCUCCAGAAGAAGUAUCCAGUCUAAAAACUUUCAGGUCGCCAUUGACUACGCGGUCGUUAUAUACGUUUACAAUAAUGCCCAUUGACUUUUUUUCGAGUGACGAUAUGACAAUAUGGCGCUCACCUACUCCCUUAUUGACAAAUUUGCCCCUCGACGGUCAACAAAACUCACCUUAAAAAUUUCUCCAAAAGCCUCUAUUAAUUUUAUUCUUCAAAUAUAUACUUAUGUGGCAAAUAAAAGAGUGAAAAAAUAUGUUAUUCUAUAAAAAAACUCUUCAAAUAAAAAUAAGUUAAUAUUAUUUUAAUUAAAUAAUUAUUUUUUUAAAGAAAAAGUCAAUAGCAAUUAAAGUACUUCUCUCUUUUUCUCAAAUGAAAAAUAAUAAAAUAUAAAUUGAAGAGAGAGAAAUCAACUCUUCAAAUUUGAAGAGAGAGAAUCAUCUCUUAUUUGAAGAAUUUUAAUUGAAGUAUCUUUUGGAGCCUUAAAUAUUAAUGUGGCUCUUCAAAUCAGUAAUAAAAUUUUAUUUAAAGAGUCUUUUAGUGAUGUUUUAAGGUUUUUAUUUCCAUGAAUAUUCUGAUUCUGUGUAAGCCAACCAAAAGACAGUGGCCUACGGCCACACUUAUCCAGGUUCAGAAUUGUAAACAACCAAUACGAGACCAAAUUCAUUUGCAUGAUUUUAUUCUUAAUUUAUUUAAUUAUUUUCGUUAAACAGGUUUACAUGGUUCAUUCACCAGAUGUUAGCCUGACCCCUCACCUACCGUCUUACGGUCCCACUUUUGAUAUUUGAAGUCAAAUUGGGAAGCUUCAUCGCCAUACGAUCCACUGAGCGGGAAAAAGUCCACAGAUCCCGCGGCUGUCGUUAGUUAGGUGUCAUCUCGUUAUGCAUGGAGGGCGGUUUUGUCUUUUGUGGAUUAUAUAUUUAACCCACAAAAAAAAAAAAAAGAACGAGAUGAACUUCUGGAAGGUUAUUCCCGGUAUUGCAAACUUGCCAACCUUUUUCCUCAAGGAAGUCUGAAGACCAUAUUUCCCGAUUUUGUCGAAAUUGCCCCUUUUCUUCUUCUCCAGACAAUGCUCAUUAUGGUUAAGCUUCUAGGAUAAUGACGUAUAAAGUUAUUUAUUUAAUUUUUUAAAGAUUAAUAUUUCUUAUUAAUUAAUAUUUAAAAGUAAGACAAUUAAUGAUAAUUUAUAUAUGUUAUCUGUCUUUCAAUUGUUAAAGAAUUUAUCACCAUGACCGAAUCCAUCAACUAAUUACAACUACAAGCUCAUAUUAGAGCUAAAGUUUAAAGUCUUCAAAGUUUUAAAUAUUAACGAAUUAAUGGGUUUAAUCUGCAUCUUAGAAUAAUAAUAAUUAGACAUGAUAAUUUUCUUUUAAAAAAACACAAUGAGUAUAACGUAGUCCCCCUAUAUCGAAUUCUUGGCACUGUCGUUGAUGUUCUACACUAUAAAAUUUAUCCAAAAAAUAUUUGAAGUGCAUUUACUGAGUGGUGAUUAUGAUACAUAAAUUUCAAUUCUCCAUUUUAUUAUCUAGUAGUGAAUAGUGAAAUAACUAUAAAUUUUAUGUGAACAGCGGCAGAAAAAUUAAAAGUCAAAAAGGCUUUCACAUUAUUUUUUUAAUAAAAAAAUGUGUAUCUAAUUUUUUUCUUUGUUCCAAAAAAUUAUAUAUACUGGGUUAUAACCGAUUGAAUAGAAUUAAGAUUGAUUUGUAUUUUCUUAAACUUUAUUUUUUGAGGUACGUUCAUCCAAUCAUUUAUUUCACUCUCUAUCUAUUUUUAGAUAAUUUGAAAUAAAAUGAGUUUAGACAAAUGUUAUUGGAUAAAUCAUGGUGGGAACUUCAAUUCAUUUUCUGCAUGUCUAGACUUCCGUAAGAUUCGUGACCUUAAUAAUGUUGCUGAUACAAACGUAAUUUUCAUGUGUCAAUUGUAGUUCCAAUGAAGAACAUCGAAAGUUCUAAUUUCGUUCAUUAUCAUCAUUUCCCCAGUAGACCCAAAAGUCAAAGGAGGGUAAUUAUGUAAUUUCAAUCUUUGAACCAACCUUGUGGACUUCGAAACUCAUCAUCAAUUAAUCAAAUUAUAUAAUAUAUGUAACGCCUAAAUCAUCUCUCAUCUGUACACACAAGCGUACAAGACUGAAGAAUUCCAUGCUUAUAAAUGGAAUGAUGCAAAGAAAAAUUCCAAAGUCGAUAUAAUAAAAAAAAAAAAGAAAGAAUUGCAAGCGAGAGCAGUUGGUGUUUUGAAUAUUUCAUACUGGCUUUUCUCAUCGGCGCCUCUUCUCUUUAAAGUCUCUCCUAACAUCCUCCAUUUCUUCUCCAACACACCAUUUAGAGCAUAAUUGUUGAGCUAAUUAUUGGAUCCGAUAAACGUUAAUCAAGAAUCUUUCAUUCACCAUCACCAACGACAAUGACUGUUAAAAUCACGUGGAGAUCUAUAGUCCCAAAUUGUUUUAGCAUUCAAGAGGAGGAAAAAGCAUGCAAGCCCAAGAAGGCGGUCAAGAAGCAAAGUUCGAUUAAAAGGAUUUCUUUUGUGGAUUUGAGUAACCCCAGCUCAACAACACUCUCCGAGGAUCUUUCCAUAUCCCUGGCCGGUUCAAAUCUUCACGUUUUUACACUCGCCGAGCUGAAGGUGACCACUCAGAGCUUUUCUUCGAGUAACUUUCUUGGUGAAGGCGGGUUUGGUGCUGUGCACAAGGGAUUCAUUGACGAUAAGCUUAGGCCUGGUUUGCAAGCUCAGCCUGUUGCUGUUAAGAACUUGGAUUUGGAAGGUUUACAAGGACAUAGAGAGUGGUUGGUGAGUAUCAAUUCUAAUAAAAAGUAAAAUUAUUGGAGCUUCCACUAUGGCUUUUGUUUAACAUAUCCAUCAUAAUUGACAUUCUUUUUUGUGUCUUAUUGAUAGACCGAAGUCAUAUUUCUUGGGCAACUCAGGCACCCACAUCUUGUGAAGUUGAUUGGGUAUUGCUGCGAAGAAGAACAUAGGCUUUUAGUGUACGAGUAUAUGCCACGUGGCAGCUUAGAGAAUCAGCUAUUCAGAAGUAAGUUAUCUCUCUAUUGAUCAAUAAAUUAACCAGCUGAUGGUUGGUUUAAUUUUGUUUGAAUUAUUGUUAUUACUCAAUAAUAUUGCUGAGAAACUCAUGUGAAGAACAUGAUCCGUUGGCUUGCAGGAUAUUCCGUAUCGUUGCCAUGGUCAACAAGAAUGAAAAUUGCUCUUGGAGCUGCAAAGGGUCUUGCCUUUCUCCAUGACGCUGAAAAACCUGUCAUUUACAGGGAUUUUAAAGCUUCAAAUAUAUUGUUAGACUCUGUAAGUAUUGCCUUUCUUUCUAUCUAUUAGUUUAACUAUAUAUAUAGAGUUAAUUAAUUAGUUUUGUUAAUUAUGUGCUAAUGAUUAUUUAUUUUCAUAAUCUUCUCCAGGACUACACCGCUAAACUGUCAGAUUUUGGACUCGCAAAAGAUGGUCCGGAAGGAGAUGACACGCACGUUUCCACCAGAGUCAUGGGCACACAAGGCUAUGCUGCUCCUGAAUAUGUCAUGACAGGUAUAUUUAGUUAAUUAAUUUGCUAAUAAUUAGCCUUCUCAGUUUGGAUAUCAUCUUUUUCUAAAAAUAACUGAUAUAUUGAUAUGUUUGGUUGGGUAUAAUUCAGGUCACUUGACAUCAAUGAGUGAUGUGUACAGCUUUGGAGUAGUACUAUUGGAGCUUCUGUCUGGGAGAAAAUCAGUGGACAAGAGCCGUCCACAAAGAGAGCAGAGCUUAGUAGAGUGGGCGAGGCCAAUGUUGAAUGAUGCGCGGAAACUUGGCCGGAUAAUGGAUCCAAGACUCGAAGGCCAGUACUCGGAAACCGGUGCUCGAAAGGCGGCAGCAUUGGCUUAUCAAUGCCUUAGCCACAGGCCAAAGCAAAGACCCACAAUGAGUACCGUUGUCAAGACAUUGGAGCCUCUCAAGGACUUUGAUGAUGACAUUGCCAUUGGGACAUUUGUGUUCACUGUCCCAACUGAAAGUAGUAACAACGAUAAAAAUAAUAAUGAGGAGGAUUUAAAGGAAUGUGAAGCCAAAAAGGAAACAAAGAAAGAGAAGGGCAACCAUCGCCAAAAUCACAAGCUGCACAAUGACAUUGUCAAUGGCCGUAGACGUCAUAUGAGAUCACCGAGGUCCCGAACAUUUCAAUCUGAAAAUGAUCAUUCCAGAAAUGGGCCCAAGUCUCCGUUGCACCCUAGCUCAAAGGGAGCAUAGAGUACUAAUUAGAACCGUAAAUCAUACUGUAAAUAGAGACACUGAAUUAGAAUUGUAUCCCGUGAAUGCAUUAUUGCUAAGUGUGAGUGCUGGGGAAUAUUUCUCCCAAGUGUAAGAAUUCUUGUGAGGGAGUUUUUUAAUUUUCUUUUUCUUUUUCUUUAUAGAAUUAAUUCUUUGAAAUACAGGAUCUUUAUUAUUAUAACUAUUAUUUUAAUUGUACUCAGCUAAUGAACAACCUAAUUGUAUACUUAUUUAUUAAGCCAAAGACCAAUUCUGAAUUGUAUGGCCAAUGACCAACUAAUUAGGCAUGUAACAUUCAAACUUUAUCGAUCGAUUACAGCUAAUCAGUUUGAAUUAAUACAACGCGGAGACGCUAUUUCUGAUUAAAUCCCACCAACCCUUUUUUCUACAUACAUAGUUCUGCCUAUAGUCUAUAGAGCAGCCUAUGUCCACCAUAAUGUGGGCACAAUUUUUUUCUCUCUCUUUUGAUCAAGGAUGCAGAAUCUGAAGAUUAAAUUAAUAUCGGAUAUCCCCGGCUUUAAUUAGUGUCACGCACUUGGUUCCCUUUCCUUUGAUCGCAAGUUGAGGCAAUUAACAGGGAAAGUGAAGAAGAUCUGUCUGGCUUUAUCAAUUAAUCUCCAUAAAACAACCACUAGAAGUCUGCUAAUAAAUUAAUUAACAUGGAAAUAAAUAGGAUUUGAGAUUAAAUUAAUUAGACGCAUUACUGAAUUAGGAAAUUGAAUUCAAAGCAAGAAUCCAGCUGACUUGAGAGGUUGUGUAGCAUGUAUUAGCAAGCAAGAGAAGCAAAACUGCCUUUAUUUUAGUUGUGAAAUGAAAAACGUAAAUUAGGUAUGUUUUUUAUUGUUGGUCCGAAUUAAGGUAAACGUGUUGAUUAGGGUGUGAACAUUGAUAAAGAGUUUUAGUACCACACAACAUAGAUGUAGUUAACGCGUCUUGCAUCUCAAAGGGCAACAUAAAGACGUUUGGAGAAGAGAAGGGAACAUCAGUGCCACAAAAUGCAUAUUUUCUAGAAUGAGAAAUUCCAUCAAGGACACGAGAAUACGGUCGAAUAUGACUAAUUUCGAUUGCAGGAACCCACCGGGAGUGGUUGAAAUUAUCGUUUGUGUGACAACUAGUGUACGUUAGUGACGGCUCGUUGAAAUCAACUUUUGUUUCCGACAGCCAACUACCCUUGUAAAACAUUUUCAAACGGGUGAAAGUGAACCCAUUUUUAAAUAUGAUAUUAUCCUUGAAGCAGCGGAGAAAUUAUAGAAUACAUGAGAUAGAUUAUUUUAGUUAUACAAUAAAUAAAUAAUAUUCAUUCGUAUAUGUAUUUGUGUUGAAAAACCACCAUACAAAUUACAAUUAUAUUAAUUUUAAUUACAUAUGUGAUAUAUAAUGCAUGCAUUAAUUAGUUGUAUUAUUUUUGAUAUAUUUUAAAAUUCUUGAUGUAAUAAUACAUGCACAAAAAUAGAGACAAAAAAACUAGACAAAACAAAUAAAAUAAUGAAACAUGCACCUAAAGAUGAAAUUAAUUCAUGCAAGUGAUUUGUCUUAUCACCAACAUCGAGUGUAUGAAUUCAAGUCCUCAAUUAGUUAUACAAAGGGUUGAUAUCUCCCCAAUAAUUGUGGGAGUAGAUUUUUAAGUUAUUCCUUAGUAGAUUUCUUGAGUGCACUACAAAUGUGUAGAUGUAAUAAUUUAAAAAACAAAUCAAAGAAAUUUUAUCAGUUGUGUUUUUAUCCCUGCUUUUUGUUCUAAUUUUUAUAUGUCUAUCAUUUUCCAUUAGUUUUACUACUUACGUUAUUUUUCCUAUCGAAAAUAUUUUUCUACUAAUAUUGAUCAAAAGAGCCAACAUCACAAGAGUGAAAGUGGACGGUAAUUAGAGCUCAAGAGGUAUGUUUGAUGAUGUUCUAUCUUAGGGAUUGUUUGUUUUUUAGUUGAAGUCUAAAUCUUAAUUAUUUUCAGACAUUUACAGUUUUUAUUUUAUUUUAUUUUUAUCACUUACAUCUCAUUCUAAAAUGUUUAGAUCUGAAUGAAAAAAGUUAAAUAUUCCGACUUUUAUCUAAAUGGCAAAACAUCUUAAUAGAACUUUAAUAUUUUUUCUUAUUAAUACCCACAUUAAAUAAAAUUUAUUUUCUAUUAUAUGAACUAUCCUUUUAUCAUUUUUUAUUUAUCCCUUUUUUAGUACAUGUAUUCAACUAUUAUUAUUUUUUUGUGAAUGAGAAUUUUAAAUAUAUAUAGAACUUUAGGUGAAUGUAUGUUGGUAAUAGGUCCAUCUCUUUGUAUUUAUAUUUACUAUUUUUAUAAUAGAUUUUGAAUUUUAUUUAAUACAUUAAUUUUAAUUCCAAUAAUUAAACAAUUAUUGAGUGACUUAUAUGAUUGACAAGAAAACAUAUCAAUAUAAUUUACUAAAAAUAACAUUAUAAGUAUCAUAUAUCAAUGUAAAAAAUUACGUGUGUUUGGUAUAUAUUUUACUUUUCAUGUUUGUUAAGGUAAAACUUAUCAAUUUUUUUAACUAAUCAAAUAAUUUAUUUUUAACUUGUCAUGUGUUUAAUCAAUAAAUAUAAGUAUUACUAAUAUUUAUGAGGUUAUAUAUGUCAACAUAUCAUAUUUCAGAUGAUUUCUUUUUAAAAAAACAAACAAGUUAGUACUUAUAUUCAAAUAUUGAAAAAAAAUAAAUAAAUAUGUCACUCAGAUAUAUGUAUUCAAAUUUAUUCAGAUUUCAACUCAAUUCAGACUCAUUCAGAUUUUAGACGAAAAAAGUAAUACCUUAAUUUUUUUAUUAUUAUUUUUUAAAAAUUUAUGUUCUGGUUGGCUAUGUACAUGUAAGUGUCGAUGUCAAGGGAUAAACAAACAUGGCAAGUUCGUCUGGACCUAAAUUAAUUUCUAAGAGAGCCAAAAAAAAAAAAAAAAAGAAGUGAAUUGAUAUCCAGACUAUCGAUUGGGCCUGACUAAAAAUUCAAGGGGUUCAACUUGGAACACAUAAAUUUGGGCAAUAUACAGAUUUAAAUUAAGCAAAAUAAAUUAAUCCGCCAAUAACAAUCAAAUCCUUACUUAGUCCACCGGAGAAUCAAUUAUCUAAACUUGUAUAGCCACGUGGGAAUGUUAUCAUGAUAAUUGAGCUAGACUCUAACAUGGUAAUUGGCAUACAACAGAAAGCCGACAUGCAGUGUGCACUAUAUUAUGCAUACACCACGUUUAGUGGAGGCAGGCAAAAGAUUGAUAUGACACUUCAUCACAAAAACGAAAAAGGAAAAGAAAUGCAAAAGAAAUUUAAUAAUAGUGACUAUUUUUUUUAAAAGGAAUUUGAUUUUUCUCCUUAAAAAAAUUAUCUAUUUCAUCAAUUACUAGCUCACCAAUAUCAAGACAAAAAGAAAUUUAUACGCAAACAUUAUUUAUAUAAAAUUAUUUUUAAAUGCAAUCACUUUUUUUUUUAAUAUAGACACAUUGUUAAAUCAUAUAAUUUAAUAAAGUCUUUUUUUCAAUGCGCUACAAAAUCAUGCGAUUUAAUUAAUAGUAUGUAUAUAUUAUCUCUAUUAAACUGAAUGAUUUAACAAUAUCUUUACAUAUAUAUAUAUAUAUAUAUAUAUAUAUAUAUAUAUGUGAAGAUACCUGCAUUAGAGAAGUAAUCUAUAUAUUACAGUAUUUAAUUGGAUAAACCUUUCAAUCAUGAUCGCACCACUACUAUCAGUGCAGAAUAAUAGAGGUACAAAGCUAUUUUAACUCACCUUCCACGCCAUUCGGAGUAAGUUUUACCGACUGAUAUGAUAACAAAUUCUUUGUAAAAGUUCCAUCCAUAGCUUGUGACAUUCUAAUUUUGAAACGUUAGACUUCAAAUCUAGAAAGAAGUUGCUAAGAAAACAAAACAGACAUAUUUAAAAUCUCAACGACACACACAUACACAGAUAACGUCUUACACACGUAAUUGAACAUCAUUAAUCAUAAAGAUGGAGUGGGAGUCGCGGUUCCACGACUGCAACAAGUGGAAACUUUCUUAUGGUUGCCAAUCCAUAAAAACUUCGUCCAUGCUAAUAUGUUCUGGUUUCAUAUGGGCUGGUAACUUCCAAUUAAACCCAUGCAACAUGUUAGCCAAACUAGACUUUAUCAUCUUCACUCCAAGGCUAUAACCAGGGCACAUCCUCCUUCCGGACCCAAACGGCAGCAGCUCAAAAUGUUGUCCCUUCACAUCAAACGCCUUAUCCAGAAACCUCUCAGGCCGAAACUCUUCAGGUUUGUCCCAGACUGAAGGGUCUCUGCCUAUACUCCAUGUGUUUAUGAAGACUCUGGUUCCUUUACGGAUGUCGAAGCCCGCGACAGUGCAAUCUUCCAAGGCCAAGUGCGGAGCUAGCAGUACAGCAACUGGGUGUUUUCUCAUCGUUUCUUUCAUGAUUGCAUCGAUGUAAGGAAGUUGUGGGAUGUCUUUCACUUCCACCCAUCUCUGUCUCCCAACCACUCUGUCGAUUUCUUCUGUUGCCUUUUUAAUUAAGUCUGGCCGUUUCAUUAGCUCGGACAUAGCCCAUUCUACUGUAGUAGCCGAAGUAUCCGUGCCUCCAGCAAUUAGAUCCUGUAAAUUAAUGAAUGAACAAAACCAAGAAACCUUUUUUUUUUUUUUUUUUAUAAUUACAACUUGAACUUACAUGUUUGUUUGUACAAUUUGAAUAUCAGAUCCAAUUAUGCUGAAACGAGCUGUACUAAACGCUUUAUAAUAUGUUUUCUAUAUAUAUAUAUAUGGGAAUGUCGUUAAAAUAUAAAAAAACAUAAAUUUUAAUACAUUAGAAACUGUAUUUCUUGUAUAUUAAUGUAUUUAAAUAUAUAUUUUUUGACAUUCUUAUUUCUAACAAAUUGAAAUAUAUAUACAACAUCGUCACAUUAUUAAAUCAUGAGAUUUAGUAGCUUUUUCAUAUUUUAACAUUUAUAUCGCCAUGUUUUAAUAGUGUGACGACGUUAUAUAUAUAUAUAUUAUAAAAUUAAAGUGAAGAUAUCCUUACUAAAAAAUGAUUAUAUAUAUAUAUAUUUGAAGGAAACAUUAAUUACCUGUGUGAACCCUCUCACGCUGUCAUAGUUGAGCUUAACAUCAAGAUUUGGAUCAUCAGCCAUCUGCAACAAUAAGUCCACCAUAUCCUUGGGCACAAAAUCCUUUAAGUUACCUUUCCUGUUAGCCUUGUGUUCAUCAAAUACAUGGUCAUGAAACCGAUCAAAUUUUUUCUUCAAGGCCUUCAUCCGCUUAACGUACCCUUGGAGGUCCAAGAAAUCUAGCCAUGGAAUCCAAUCCCCAAUAUUUAGCACCCCAUUAAGCAAAAACAGCUCAUCUAACAUCUCUUGAAAUUCUUCGAGGGUUACAAUUGAAUCUUCAGCUUUCGACUCACUAAAGUACUUCUUUCCCAGUACUGUUCUGCUUAUAAUGCUGAGGGUAACGCGUGAGAGAUGUUCUUUGAGCACAAUCGGCUGCCCAGAUAAAGCAUAUAGACGAGAAAUAAAUGCACGAUAUUCCUCGACACGAAUGUAUUGAUAGGACUCGAGUCUUUUCGAGCUAAACAGCUCCAAAAGGUAAAGUUUACGGCCUUGGCGCCAAUAUGGUCCAUAAGGAGCCCAUGUGAGAUUCAAAUAGUUAUAUGUUGUGUGCUUGCCCGCUGCAGUUUGGGGCCUGGAGGCAAAUAUGUGAUCAUGUGUUUGGAGAAAUUGUUUUGCCAUUUCUGCCGAAGCAGCAACCACAACAGGGAAGGAGCCAAACUUCAGCUGCAUUAUCUGUCCGUAUUUUUGGGAAAGUUUGUGAAGAGAUUGGUGAGGGAGUGGGCCAAUGAGGUUUAGAUUGCCAAUGAUAGGCCAUGGUUUUGGACCUGCCGGAAAUUUUAGUGCCCGGCGUCGGAAAGUUGAGAGGAAGGCUAGAGCAGCUAGCAAAGUCAAGGCUAUAACAACCCAAGAAUAAGCUGCCUCCAUUAUGUUGUGUUGGAGAUGCUUUAGCUUGGUUAUGGAGGUCUUUUUAUAGAUGGUGAUUUGGGAAAAAUGUUCAAAUUUGAAUUAUUGAAGAAAGGUGGGGCACGAUCUAUGGUUCAACCAAUGAAGAGAAUCCACGUAAAAAGUACAAUUUAAUAAUUAAGAUGAUGAUAGUGCUGGGCUUAUAUGCAAAUAAUUAUAUGUUCCACACUAUUAUAUAAGGUUAAACUUAAUUAAAAGUGAUCUAUUAAUAUUUUUGAUAAUUUGAACUUUAGUGUAUCUGAUAGGGUGUAAACCUUCGAAGUGUAGAGAUUUAAAGUAUAAUUUCUAUUUUUAUGAUAACUUAAAAAGCUUAGGAUACGUUCAGCAUGCAAAAUUGGAAUAGACUAACUAUUAGCAUUGGACUAGAAUAGAUUCAAUUAGAUUAGUUUGGAUUAUAUAUAGUGAUGAGUUAUGUUUGGUACAAUAUGAGAUUAGAUUAUGUUAAACUAAAUUUAAAUGAAGUUAAUAGUAUUUAAGUUAAUAUUUGAAUUUAAAUAUCAACAAUUUAUAUAUAUUUAAUAAGAAAUAUUAUAUUUAAUUAAAAAUAAAACUAAUAACAAAAUUAUAUACACACAUAUAGAGAUAUUCAAUUAGUUAUUGAGUAGUCAUAAUCAUAAUAAAGAAAUAUAAAUUAUUUAAAUUAUAGGUUAUUUCAUAUGAGAUGUAUCAUUUCAUUAAAUAAAAUUAUUCAAAUAAUAAACUAAUUAAUAAUGUUUAACCCAAUCAUGAAUAACAAAAAAUAAAUUGCUUAAUUAAAAACAAUAAAUAAUUUUAACUUAUAAAUUAAAAUAGUGUAAUAAAUUAUGGAAGAUAUCAUAAAUGGACAAAUAUUUUUUUUCACAUUAUCUGAUCCUAAAUAAACCCACAUGAAAAUUGGGAUUAAUAAUCCCAUGAAUUUUGGAUUAAAAUUUGAAUUUAGUCCAUUAAUCCAAUCCAUGUGUGGAUGCCAAACAUUGGAUUAAUAUUUUGUCCUAAAAAUUAGUUCAAUUAUACAUUUUUUUUUUCUUUUAAAGGUAAGGGGGUGGGGCAAACCCAAAUAAUUUUUAUUUUCCCCUUACCUCCCAUGAGGCUCGAACCCGGGUGGUUAGCUACUACAAGCUUCAUACUGUUACUAACCCGACCACGCCCUUAGGGACUAGUCCAAUUCUACGUUUAAUCCAAACUUCCAAAUGUAGCCUUAAAGGAUUGUAUAUUGAACAUUAUAGAUUGAAGUACACUUCUAUAUAUUUAUUUAUUAAUUAUUGGUGACACCACAUGAAUGUUCCUAAAAUUUAGAUGAUAAUAUGCACUAAAGGUUAAUUAUUUUCUAACAGUUAGAAAAGUUUACAAAAAAGAUAAGAAAAUUUACUUUAAAUUAAAAACUUGUCUUUAGUAUUUUGGCUAGAGUCUUAUUUAUUUGCUCAAACUUUUAUAGGUUCUCUAGUACGUUAUCUGGCGUUGCAUGCAUUUCCUUCUUACAUAUGAAUUUUAUUAAAAUUAUUUUAAUAAAUCUUCAAAAUACGCAUGAAAAUUUUGCCUCGUUGCAUGCAUAUUCCACAACUAUAUAUCAUAAUUUCGCAUGGUAUCUAUUCAUAAUUGAUUUCUUGAUACAAUUGCCAACUUUUAGCCAAAAAAAAAAUUCUCUACCAAUUGUGCGUCUGAAUUUUGCACGUCAAACCCAAUGGUAUUGAGGGAAAAAAAUUAAAAAUAAAAAAUAAAAAAGCAAAAGGAGGUCUGGAUUACUAAGAGCAUAGGCUUGUCAAUAAUCAUUUCAUAGGGAUUCUUUAAUUCGAAAUAUAUUUUUUUUCCAUAUCCGAAUAGUCUUAACAAACACAAGAGAUAAACAUAAAUUUUAUUUGAAAAAACUUGAUCGUUGAUUCAUUGCGGAGGCAAUAUAUAAAUCAAACUGAAGCGCUAAAUCAUGUUCUUUGGAUUUGGCAGUAAAGCAAGUGAUGGAGUGUGGACUAGUCAAGUGUUGAGUGGUCAGUUCUUGUCGAUUACAACAUUACAGCAAUAGUGUUUUGGACUAGCUAGCCUGCACGCCAUGAUCAUCAAUAGCCAGCUACUAAAUUACACAGUAGGUUAACAAGGCGGGGCAUGCAUGUAUGUAUGUAUAUCCUGCAGCGGUUCAAUUUUAUAAUUGUUUCACAUCACUGCUUCUCAUCUACAACUCAAUAAUAUUGUAAAAAGCUGUCUAGUCUAUUUCGAUCUUUUCACUCAAAUUUUUUUUUUUAAGUAUGAGAUAUUACUAAUAUUAUAUCAUACAUUACAAUUAAUAUUUACAAUCAUACUAUAUAAUUGGGAGCACCGCCAUAUAUUGACACAUUGAAGCACUUGUCUAUACAUUUUAAAUCCUCUCUAAUAUUCGAGAGAUGUCUACUCCACUCACAUUUCGUAAGGGAGAGACCGUCUCUACUCAAUUAUAUUGAUAAUUGAGUAAGUACUGAAAUUAACCCCCAUAAAUAUCUUAUGAAGGCUCGAACCCUUACACUCAUUAUUCGAGGAAUGCCUACUCCACUCACAUUUCGUAAGGGAGAGACUGUCGCUACUCAAUUAUGUUGAUAAUUGAGGAAGUACUGAAAUUAACUCUCAUAAAGCUCUUAUGAAUGCUCGAACCCUUGCACUCAACAUUGUAAGUGGAAGAUUUCUCUCAUUGGACCAAAGACCCAUUGGUGCUGCCACUCAACUCUAAUAGACCACUCACACACACACAGUACUGAAAUUAACUCUCAUAAAGCUCUUAUGAAUGCUCGAACCCUUGCACUCAACAUUGUAAGUGGAAGAUUUCUCUCAUUGGACCAAAGACCCAUUGGUGCUGCCACACACACACACACACACACACACACACACACACAACUUUUUCCCGCGUAAGUGUCUGCCUAACGUAUUUUAGGCGUCCUUUUAUAUCGGCCGCCAGUAGUUACAUCUAAUAAUUAAUACAAGUAAUAUACAAUUUGUAUGAGAUAGAUUAUUUAAUUUACAAGACGACAUUUCAUUGUCAUGUAGAGUCGGUCACUUGUGCAUGAGUUUCACACUAAUAUGAAAAUAAAUUUUAAAAAAUUAAUUUGUACUUUUUUUGAAAGAGCAAAUUUUGAUUAUCAUUAUCUCACUUAUCCGCGUGUAAAUCAUUUUUGACUCUAUAUUAUUGGCUUGUAAGAAAUGCAGAAUUAAUUUCUCCAUAUAUUGACAUGUCAAAUAAUGACUAUAUUUCAUUAUAUUAUCAGCGCGUACAUGAUUUUUGACUCUUUAUCUUUCUAUUAUUAGCAUUAAAAUAUUGACUAUAUACAUCUUUAUACGUUCAUAUGUAAAAUAUUUUAAUAAUAGAUAGCUUUAAUUAGGUAGAAUCCAUUUAUUUUUAUUUUUUUUUACUAUUGUUGUUCAUAGUUGAAUUUCACAAAUUUAGCAUACUAAUAAAUUAUGAAUUUAUGUAGUGGGUGGUUCUUAUAUCAAGCAUUGGAUAAAGACGGAUACUAUAUAUAUAUACAAAGGGGACUUGAAUGAUAAGGGUUUCGGGGUUUGCAGCAAAGUUUUGGAUGUAAGGUAAAAUGGAUUUAACGAAAGGGAAGAAUAAUGAUAAUAUUAGUGAUGAGCUUCUUCAAUCUCAAGCCCAUGUUUGGAAUAACAUUUUUACCUUCGUAAACUCCAUGUCUCUCAAAUGUGCAAUUCAAUUAGGCAUACCAGACAUCAUCCACAACCAUGCAAAACCCAUGACCCUUAAUCAGCUUCUUACGACACUACAAAUUCAUCCAACAAAAACCCAAUGUGUCUACCGCCUCAUGCGCAGUUUAGUUCACUCUGGCUUCUUUGCGCUACAAAAAACAAGCGAAAAUGAACAAGAAGAAGGCUACAUUCUCACCAGUGCUUCUAAGCUUCUCCUUAAAGAUCACCCGUUGAGCUUAGCACCUUUCCUACUAGCCAUGUUGGAUCCCAUUUUGACAAAACCAUGGCACCAAGUCAGCACGUGGAUUCAAAACGACGACGACGAUGAUGCUGCUACUACAUUCGCCUUGCCCCAUGGGAUGAACUUUUGGGACUAUGCUGUCCGCGAAACAAGGCUUAACCAUUUUUUCAAUGAAGGCAUGGCCAGUGAUACUCGAUUAACAUCAAGCGCGUUGAUUAAUAAGUGUAAAGACGUGUUUGAGGGGUUGAACACGUUGGUUGAUGUUGGAGGUGGCACCGGAACUCUGGCCAGCGCCAUAGCCAAAAAGUUUCCCCACAUAGAGUGCACUGUGUUUGAUCAGCCGCAUGUGGUUGCUGAUCUAAAAAGCAAUGGAUAUCUCAAAUAUGUUGGAGGCAACAUGUUCGAGGCAAUUCCCCCUGCAGAUGCUGUCUUGAUAAAGGUAAUAAGCUUUGAUUUUUUUUUUAGUGGGCUACAAUAUCUUGUAAUAUUCUUGAUUAACUAAUUCUGGUGCUGGCGGUGACAAACAGUGUGUACUAUACAAUUGGAAUGAUGAAGAAUGUGUUAAGAUUCUAAAGAAUUGUAAGAAAGCGAUUGCAAUCAAUGGGAAGGCAGGGAAAGUAAUCAUAAUAGACAUUAAGAUGGAGAGUGAAAAGGCAGAUUACAAGACUACUGAAACACAACUCUUUAUGGACAUGUUGAUGAUGGUCUUGGUCAAAGGAGAAGAGCGAAAUGAGAAAGAAUGGGCUAAACUUUUUUUCGAGGCUGGUUUUAGUGACUACAAGAUCACCGACGUAUUAGGCGUUAGAUCUCUCAUUGAGGUUUAUCCUUAAUAACUUCUUUAUAGUUCGAACAGAUCAUUACAUGUUAAAUGCAAUAACAUCAUCGCCCAUGGAAUGGAAAACUGCAUUACCAUCGUAAUAGUAAUAAAUGAAAAAUAAAAAGCUCUCAAUAGCAUCGUUUGCAAAUUGUUUAAUAAGAGUGGAAUCCAACUUUGAAUAAGAAUGGAAUCCAACUUUUUAAUUUGUAUGAUACUUUGCUUUGUGUUUUAGCAAUAUUUAAGAAGUGUUAUGUGUCGCCAACUAUUUAGUUCGUGUUGUGCAAAUUUUAAUGUACUCGCAAGCGCACGAAUCUAUUGUAGUAUAGAUCAAUGGUGACGAGUGUCGAUCCCACGAGGAGGUGGAUUUUAAUUGUGUAUAGAAUUAAUUUUGCAAAUGGUUGAUUGGAUCUGUGGUGGAAAUGAUUUGGAAUAUGCUAAAACUUAAAUUAAAAUGGCGAGAAUAAAUUCUGAAAUUGGAAUUGAAAUGGCGAGAAUAAAUUGAAGAGAAUUCUAUUGAAAUGACGUACUUGGGUAUCUGGAUCCGUAUCAACAUGCAUCAUGGGCUAAAUAAUCCGUAUUAAUGCCAAUUAAAUCAUGAGGGGGGAAUCCACACCUCAUGAACCACGCUCUAAUCAAUAUGGUGCUAAGGGCUUAUCGUGCCAAAUAAUAAUAACCUUAUACUAGAGAGCCGGUGUAACCAAGGCGGUAUCUAGACAAGAUCAGUAUUAUUUGUCGACGAUAAGUCAAAUCAUCCACAAAAACUAGAGGGGAAAAGAAAAUAAAUUUACCAAAUAAAGCCCAUGACACAUGUUGAGACUUCACCUUCAACCCAAGCUUGAAAGGAAAUUAGCUACUCAUAAUUGAACUAGGGGCAAAAUGGGAAUUUAUUAAAAUACAAAGAAAAUACAAGAUGGAGAAGGAAUUACAGAAAAUGGAUCCCAAAAAUGGAUUCAGAGAUAUCAAAUUAGGGGGGAAGGCCCCCUUUUUAUAGAUACAUGGAGUAAAUCAUGGCCAUCGGAUUAAAAACAGUUUGGACGCUCAGGAUUGCGCCACGUCAUCAGUCAACAGUCCACGGUUUGACCACGCGGAUGAACAGUAACACGGUUUGACCCGACUUUGAACAGUAACGCGGUUUGACCCGGAUGAACAGUAACGCGGUUUGGUUGAAAAUAAUCCUGUGUGAUGCAUGCACCGUACACGAGAUUUUUCGUCCACUGAUAUGCUGCCACGUCACCAUUAACAGUACAUAAGAAUUUUAGCCCAACAGGAUCGUGACACCUCAUCAGUCAAUGCCACAUCAUCGGUCAAUGCCACGUCAUCGAUCCGUCUAUGUGAACAGUGUCGUGAACAGUAACGUAUACGUGAAUAGUACCGUACAUGUGAAUAGUGCCAUUUUUCCUUUUAUGCUCCUCCUAAGGUUUUCGACCGUCCUGAGUUCAAAAGUGAUGUCCGUUUUGCCGUCUGAUCUCUCCUUUAUUGUGAAAUGACUAUAAUGCCCCUAAAAUACAUAAAAUACUUAAUUAAAAUAACACACACGUAAUUACAUCACAAGAAGGUUAAAUACAUAAAAGUAAGGGUUGUUAGUAAGACUUGAAAUGUAAAAUGACGGUUUUCUCCUUUAUAAAUAUGCAUUUUCUAACACUCAACAGUUCGCACUCUUUAAUUAAAGUUUACAUCUCUUAUUUUUAUUGUUAUUUUUUAUUACAUGAGACGAUUGCUCAAGAGUACAACUCAUAUUAUAUAAUAUUACAAUUGAUAUUUACAAAUCAUAUUAUUACUGGAACUAGCUUACAUCAAUUUUUAUAAAGUACCUCUUAAUUUUAUUUUUUUUGUUUAGAUUACAUGAAACGAUUGCUCAAGAGUACAAGUCAUAUAACAUGAGAUUACAACUUAUAUUUAUAAAUAAAACUAUUACUAUCAUUAGUUUAUAUAAAUUCUUAUAAAGCACCGCCACUCACAUUUCGAAAGGGAGAAAAUUGUCUUCAGACAAAUUGAGGAAGGAAAUUAAAUCCCCACAAUGCAUUGUGGUGACUCAAACUCAUGACCUCACAAUUGUGAGGUUUGGAUUCUAACCACUAGGUUAAAGUAUAGUGGUUGUUUACAUCUCUUAAUUAAACAGUUACGUUAAGGGUAAAUUUUAGAUUUUCUCUUGUGAAUUGACUAUCUUCAAAUCACUUCUUAUUUUUUUAAAUCUCAAGUUAUCUCAUUUUGUCAAAGUAUAGGAGAAAAUUAAGAUGGAAUGGUUUUUUUUUUAAUCUUUUUAACAAAAAUAUGAGUAAAUUGAGAUUUUCAAAAAUAAAAUGAUAAUGGAGUAAUCUAAAAUUAAUCCUUAUGUUGAUUGCAACAACUAAUCCUUUAACUCUGAUGCUAUAAAUGGUCCUUGUAAUAUUUUUAUGGUUGAGGUGUUGAAUUAAUUUUCACUUCAUUGUUAACCAAUUCUUUAGUUAAAAUUAAGCUGAAUAGAUAUAGUAGAUAAAUAUUGCAACAAAAGUGAUGGAAAGAAAGAAAAAUCAAUUGAAAAAGAUUUAUUAUCCUUUGAUUACUUGAAAUACUCUCUCUCUCUCUCUCUCACUUUGCUUGUCAGCAAUUCACUAUAAUAAUAUUUUAAAUUAAAUACUCGUUUAAUCCCUAUAUUAAAAAAAAAAACCUUAAGACACCCCUAUUAUAGAAUAUGUAACACUUACAUUUGCUUUUUCUUUCUUUUUAUAACACCCUUGAAACAAUAUUUUUGAGAAUAUAAAUGAAAAGAAAAAAAUAUUAAUUUAUCAAAUUAGAUUCAAAAACAACACAAAGAUUUUGUUUUACUUUUAGGAUUAAUUUCAUACAAUAGCUUUUUAUACAAUAAUUAUUAGUAAGAUCAUAGCGAAGAUAUAUAUUAAACGUUGCCUUAAGUUUGUUGCUAUUAAUUUAUUUAUAAAUAAUCAUCAGCAAUAUUGUGCGUGGAUAAAAAAAAUUACUAGUUCUUUUUACACUGAUAUUUAUUGGUUAAUUUGCUAAUAAUUAAUGUCAAUAGUAUUGUUGUAAGGGUAUAUUAUUAAUUUAUUAUUAUAAAAACAAAUAAAAAGUAAGGGUAAUAAUGCAACAUACUUAGUUGCAAAGGUGCUUUGAGAUAUUUUUAAAAUAUAUAAAUAAAACAAGUACUUAAAAUCUAAAAUAGGGACCAAAAGAGUAUUCACAAUUAUCAUCCCUUUCAGCUACAUACUAACUACCUAGAAGCUGGUCCAUACUCAGUAUUAUUUGAGUAAGGGGUCUUUUUAAGUUACAUCAGCUGUAACUAUUACAUCAACUGAUAAUUAAUUUUUUUUUUUCUAUGACUCAAUUGUUGUUUGUCAAACAACCAGAAGAUUAUUAAGAACUAUUUUUGGAUUAACCGUAAGUUACAUUAUAUAUGUAUAAUGACUUAGCGGCUACUUUGAGUGUUGGAUUAGAUUGUUUUUAUGAAAAAAUGAAGGGGUAUGUAUGUAAUAAUUCCUAUAUUCAUUUAUUUAGUUAUUUUUUAAUAAAUAAGAAACACUUUUCUGAAUCACUAUGUUUUUGUACACUGAAAUCCAUACAACACGUAUAAAGAAUUUUAAAAAUAUAUUAAAAAUGACUCCCGCGUAACAAAAUAAAGUAAAACAAAAUUUAAAAAAAUAAAGAGACGGUGCUUAUUUGGAAAUAAAAGGGGUGCGUAGAGAAUCGAUCCAGAAUAAAUGGCCUAAUUGGAUUUUCGUUUAAAAAAAUCAAAUGGGAAAACAUUGGGCGUGUUUGUAUGGAUGGGCCGGUACCGUAUAUAUCUCAUAUCAGCAUCUUCCAAGUUCGAAGUUCCAGCAGUAUAGGUGAGUUCAAGUUUAAUAGCACGUUGCAUGUAUAAAUAAUAAUAAUAAUAAUGAUAAUAAUAAAUAUGGUCAAUAGAUUCCUUACUCGACGUUGUCCCACACGUAAAAUGAAACUCACGCCGGAUUGCCUACGUGAAUUAGCCGAUGGAACGCGACCAUCAGUAAAACACCAGGAAGUUGCUCGGCUCCUACCUUCGAAACGUAAAUCUUAAUGUUAAAAAAAAAAAAAAAAACUCCAUCGAGAGCGCGUAUCCCUCUACAUAAUAAAUACAAUAAACUUCUAAUUUCAAUUUCAAUUUCAAUUUCAAUUUCAAUUUCAAUUUCAAUCCUAAAAAACUAUUUAAUUUCUUUCGUCAUAUCUACUUGCAACAGCCUUACCAGCUACCGGCAGCCUCUCUUCGGUGGUCGGCAGGGCACUCUCGUUGCUUUGACUGGUUAACAAAUAAAAAGGUAAAAUAUGGCAAGAGACAAAAGCAUAGACAAGCCCCUUAAGCCACGUCCACAUCGGCGGCAAGAAAGAAGGAGAAACGGUGACCGCGGUCGUCGCGACGUUGGCCGCCCGAAUGACGAACCUAUCCUCCGUCUUUGUUUGAUCAUACUUGUUCUCUUCCUUUUAGCUUUGGUCGUGAUCUGUUUUGUCCAUUAUUUUUUGGGACCUGAUUUUCACUUUUGAAGUGAAGUUCGUGAAUUAUAAUUGUAAUUACUAUUAUUAUAUUAUAGGACGUGCCCAUGACUCCGCCGAUUGAGUUCCCUCGUGUCAGCUCCUUACUUUCUUUCGUAUAGGUUUUAGAAGAUGUAAAGAGAUUCAGAAUUGUUAUCUUUUUCAUUUGUAUCUAAGUACCAUAUAGAGAGAUAGGUAAUUUCUAUCUUCGGUUCUAUUAUCGUUUUCAGUUCAUAUAUUAAUUGGGUUUGAAUUUUCAAGAGACAUGAAACUCGGACCAUCUCUACCGUGAACCACAAUAUUAUUGGUCAAUUAUUAUUGUUCUUUUUGCGGAUGAAUGGACUGUACUUGCUAACCAAAGAAUGAGUCUUUUGCCUUUGAGUUUUGAGGUUGAAUUCCUUCUAAAGAGACUUUUGAAAUCAAUGGUCAAAUGCUCCCCACUUUCGGUGUUUUACAUUAAUGGGCAUCUACCAAAUUAGGCGAAGCUAUCCUUGCUACAUAUAAAAAUAUGGUGGUUUAAUCGAGGGAUGGAACCACGGAACUAUUCGAACCCCACAAUUUUAUUUAUUCGACUCGUCUUCUGAGUUCGAGUACCGGGCCCACACAAUUGUUUACGCGUCCUGUGCUUCAUUGGAGAAGCCCAUUGGCAAAUUGGGUUUGACCCAAAAAGUAGAAGCCGCUUUGUGAUUACGUAAGUAAAAUUGUAUAUAAUUACUAGCACACCGGUCAGAAUUCAGUCUCGAGCAUAGAGAAGCCGAACACGAUUACCUAACUAAAUAAUAUCUGGCGUCUAAUUAGAAAUCCUAAAUAUAUUCAUUCGUACGUUAUUUGGAUUUCGGAGAGUGGAGAAGCGAGGAAGAGGGAGAGAGUCUUUGGCAGCUUCUAUUUUUUACCCAUUUGGUACGCGGAAAUUUACAAAUAACUUAUGGUGAUACAGAGUAAUCAUCGGUUCACCAUCCAUGAAUAUAUUAAUCAUAAUUGAUUUUUUUCUUAAAUUAAUUAAUUUAUUCCCAUGUAAUUAUUAAUCAUUUUUGUCGACCAUACUGACAUUCUCUUUUAAUUUAUUUUGUAAAAAUUUGCAUCAUAAUUUGAGAAUCAUUAAACUAAUACGUAAAUAUCACACCAGGCUUAAAAA